CUCCUUCUAUAUGCCACCCUUUUAAUUUACCGACCUCUGCAAAAGCAGUUUUCCAUUGUUGUACUCUAUCAGCUGGUUGCUCUGAUUCAUGCUCUUCGAAGGUUGUCUUAAAAUGCCCACCACUAUUUCGCACAUCGGAAGGAUCAACAUGGUAAAAGACGGGAAGAACAAUAUGUUUGUCAGUGGGAUUGUGCUUGCGAUCCAUGAUGUCAGAAAGUUCACCUAAGCAUGAUUCUGAAGAAGCAUAGGCUUUAGAUAAAACGAGGAUUGAGAGAUUUGAGGCCGAAAUUGCUCGAGAAUACGUUGGUGGAAGUUUCUCUCCUUUUUUCAGUGUUUCGUGAUCGGGGAAGACAUUAAUUCCUACUUUUUCCAAAGCAUUGACUAGGUGAUUGGAGAAGUUGAGGCGUGUGUCUUCACCUAAGCUUAAGAAAACUUGAUGCUUCAUCAACUUUUGCAUAACAUACGCAACAAUAUCCUUGAUGUACUGGGUUUCAGGUCUAGCAAAUAAUAGAAGAAGUAUAUAUAUGAAAUCCAAAACGAAGAUAAGUCAAAUAUAAGGAGAUGAGACAAAUAUAGUUACCUAUCCGAGAUGCUUCCAUCUAUAUGCCACCCUUGUAAUUUACCAACUUCAGCAAAAGCAGUUUUCCAUUGUUUCACUUCAUCGACUGACCUCCUUGUUUCAUGCUCAUCAAAGGAUUUCUUAAAACUCCCAUCAAUAUUCUCCACAUCAGAGGGGUUAACAUGGUAAAAGAUGGGAAGAACAAUUUGUUGUUCGACGCUAUAGCGGUCCAUGAUGUCAGAGAGUUCAAGCAAGCAUGAUUUCGAAGAGGCAUAGUCUGCAGACAAAACGAUGAUUGAGAUACUUGAGACUGCAAUUGCUCGAGAAAGUGCUUGUGAAAGCUGCUCCCCUUUUUCCAAUUUUUCUUCAUCGAAGAAAACAUCGAGUCCCUCGUCUUUCAAAGCUUGAAGUAAGUGAGUGGUGAAAUUAAGGCGCGUGUCUUCACCUCUGAAGCUCAAGAAAACAUGAUACCUCAUUAGAGUAGAAGACGAAGAAGAAGAAGCCAUGGAAGAGUAUUGAAGCAAAAGAGAGAAAAAUAUAGCGAGUGAGUUUUGCUUGGGUUGUGGUAUUAUUGUAAGAAGAAAAAGUGUAAAAUUUGCAUAAUCUUUGGUAUCCUUUUAUUAAAUGGGAAAGAGAGUGAAGGCCUUUUCCUUAUACUUGAGCUUAGCCAAUUAUCUUAGUCAACACCACCAGAGAUAGUCUAUUCUCCUUUUUAUCUUUUACCGACAAAAGUGGGAGUGUUUUCAUGGUAUUCUUAUUUGAACGAUUAAUAAAAUAUAAAUUUAAAAUCGCGAUUAAUUGAGUUUAGUUUACAGUUUUAUAAUAAAGUCCCUCGUGAUGUUUUAAAUAUUUUAAAUCAAGAUAAAGUUAAGGGUGCUUUUGAUCAAUUUAGUUUGAUGUAAUUUUUAUUUGUUUGUUUGUUUUUUACUAAAAAAUAUGUUAUUAUCUGAAAUCGAAUUGAAUUUUAUUUUUUAUUUAAUAUAUAAAUAAUUUUAACUUUUAUGAUAUAAAAAUACAUAUUUUAUAUUUUAAAUAGUGAAAGUAAUUUAAAAGUUUUUGAAAAAUUAUUGUAUGUUAGAAAUAUUUAUGAAAAUAAAUUUGAAAUUUAUCAAAUAAUAUUUAAAAGCCAUAAAACAAAACUUAUUUUAUCAAAAUAAACCUUAAAAAUCAAAACAAAAAAUUAAUAUAAGAAACUGUGAACCAAACCAAACCGAAUUAAACUAUAAUGGAUGGUUCAAAAAAUAUAAAUAACUCGGCCCUGUGAACCUCUUUGAAACUUCACUAUCUAUGAAAUUAGCGAAUUUGGAAAAGGGUCAAAUUUUGAUUUUGAGUCCUCCUACUAUUCUCAAAUUCGAGAUUUAGUCCUUUAACUUAAAAUAAUCUCUUUAUUUAUAUGUUGUUAUUAGUUUAUUCAAACAAGACAGUUCUAUUUCAAAUAAAAUUAAAAUUUUAGUACAUAUUAUUAUCAAAGUGAUAUAAUAUCUUGUAAAAGGUAACUAAAAUAAACAAAUAAAGAACAAAAAAAAUUGAGAGAGAAGUGAAGAUAAGGGCAUAGUUAACUUUUUCUAUGUUUAUUAAGAUAAAUCAUCUUAUGGAGCAAAUCCAAAAAUUAGUUUAGAGUCUACUGUUGGAGAGGAUAAUGAUAGUAGUUAUGGAUCAUCUGUUGGUGAUGAAAAUGCUGUUGAUUUUGCAUUAGAUGAAGUGAACAAUGUUGCGGUUGCAAUUAGUGGAAAAGAGGAGGAUGGGAAUAAUACUAAAACUGAGGUAUGGGACUUAGAUGAACAUGGCAGCUUGGUUGGGUUCAAUGAAGAUGAAGAACAUGAAGAUGGUGAGAGAAGAAGAAGCAAGUUUCUUUUAUACCAUGAUUGAUCUAAUCCGUUAAAAUUUAGUUUAGGAAUGUUGUUUAAAGAUGGCAAAUAGUUUAAGAGUGCAAUUCGAAACUACUCCAAAGAAUGUAGAAGACAACGGAAGUUUCUUAAGAAUGAAUCGAAAAGGGUUGUUGUGAGGUGCAUUGCUUCCCCUAACUGUCCAUGGAAAAUUUUGGCUAGCUACAAUCCUAUUGCCAAAUACUUGCAAGUAAAAACUUUUCGGGAGAAGCAUCAUUGUUUGGGUACUUCUGAGAACAAAAUGAUGAUUGCUGCUAUGAUUGCCCAACAUUUUGAAGCAAUUAUCAAUGAUCACUUUAAGAUGCAAAUAAGGAAAAUUCAAAGAAGAUGUGCUUCAGAGAUGCAUGUAAAUGUGAGCAUUCAGUGUUGUUAUAGAGCUAAGAAAGUAGUGAAGGAGAAAAUGGUUGGGAAUUACGAGGAAUUUGGUCAGUUAUAUGACUAUACUCAUGAGUUAAGGUCAAAGAUGUCAAGCAGCACAAUAAAAAUGGUUGUUCACAGUAGAUUCCCCUCCUCAUUUUAAAAGGUUUUAUCUGUGCUUUGAUACACUAAAGAGAGGCUGGAAAGUGAGGUGUAGGCCACUUAGUGGAUUAGAUGGUUGCUUCCUAAAAAGGCUAUUUAAGAGUGAAUUUCUCACAAUUGUUGGAGGGGACGCAAACAACCAGAUGUUCCCUAUUGCAUGGAUUGUGGUUUAAGUGGAAUACAUUGAUUCAUGGGCCUAGUUUCUUAGUCUCCUAUCAAUUGAUUUGGGCUUAGAGGAUGGGUAUGGGUUCACAAUUAUCAAGGACCAGCAAAAGGUUAGGGAAUUAACUAAUUUGGGCUUGGUAUUGUCUUUUUAUUUUGUUAAGUAUAAUUAACCAUACUUUUCUAACAAUCUAUCUGCUUCAUUAAACACAAUUAAGGCCUUUAGAUUGCAAUUUUUGACAUAUCACCAAAGGUGGAGCAUAGGAAUUGUGUGAGGGACAUGUUUGCAAAUUGGUCAGGAAGGAAGCUAUGGAAAUCCUAUGAGUAUGAUUUCUGGCAGAUUGUGAAUUCCACGACUGAGAAUGAGUGGGAGGAAUUAUGUGCAGCACUAUGUCCGACUUGACUUUCAUGAAAAUUUUAUGGAAACUACGGAUCACCGUCAUAAAAUUCAAAAUAAUAAAACAUAACAAAUAGAAAACACCUACUCCGAGAUCAAUAUAAAACCAUAUGCUAGAAGAUUAACCAAUCUCAAGCAUCUGUUGAUUAUAUAUUGGGAACAGUUGGUAGGUUUACCUUAUCUAACAUGAAUAUAAAUCAGAAAUCAUGAACUGAAAACAUAUAUAUUUACUAAGAUUUUAAGGAAAUAUGAAGCAUAAAUCAAUGGGUGAACGAAUCAUUGAAGUAAAAUGCAGAUAGUCUUGAGAUACAAUAUGAUUAAAUCUCUACUUACUUCCCAUGGCAUGAGCACCAAUGGUGGAAUAUAAAAAAUUAAGCUGAAUGAUGUCCACCACAGAUCCUAUGAAUCAAAACCAACCAAUAACAAGUCAAUUGCCAAAAGAAUUCAAGUAUGAAUCUUAAUAUCUCUUCACUGCAAUGCUUAAACAACAUGAGAGGCAGUAAUAUACAAAUAACUUUCAGCCCAAACUGAUAAGACAAUCAAAAUCCAAGGUAAGAAGCUAUCAACUCCAAUGGCUCUACCAUGGAACUAACCCGAUCUAGCUUGAGAAUGAAAACUGCCGAAGGUUGCAUCUAGCUCCACGUAUUCAUCCCACAAGUUUUGAGAUCUGUUGCAAAUUCUGGAUUUAUAUAAUCCCAUUGAUAAUAUGGGAAAACAUGGUGAGGAUGCUGACAAUCAUUAUAUGAACCUAAAAUCAUGAUAAUUAAGUCAAAGUCAAUGGUAACUUCUUCACCAAGACUGAAUUUGCCAGAACCCAGAAAGGGCCUCAAAAGAUUACUUUGAAGUUGUGUUCACAAAUCUGUUGACAACUGGCAUUGUCACCAAAUAUUAGUUAAAACAGUUGUAUAAAACAAGCAUUCAGCAAAACAAAUUGAAGCUCUUACAGUGCAGGUGCUCCUCCUUAUAUGGCUAAAGCUCCAAUUCAGCAGUGGCACAAAUAACCAAUCUUUCCAAUGAAUCUAGAUGUCAUUGAAGGAAAAUGCACACCAAUGCUGGAAACUAAACAAUGAAGCUGAAUCGAGUCCACCACUGGUCCUAUGAAUUAAAAAAACCAACCAAUAACAAGUCAACUGUCAAUACGAAUUAAGUAUGAAUCUUAAUAUCUGAAUUUUAAGAACACAGACACAACAGGGGGAUGAAGAAGAAGAAGAAGAAGAUUUCUCACAACUGUUGGAAGGGACGCAAACAACCAGACGUUCCCUAUUGCAUGGGUUGUGGUUGAAGUGGAAUACAUUGAUUCAUAGGCCUAGUUUCUUAGUCUCCUAUCAACUGAUUUGGGCUUGGAAGAUGGGUAUGGGUACACAAUUAUCAGGACCAGCAAAAGGUUAGGGAAUUAACUAAUUUGGGCUUGCUCUUGUCUUUUGAUUCUGUUAAGUAUAAUUAACUAUAUUUUUCUAACAAUCUAUCUGGUUCAUUAAAACACAAUUAGGGCCUUCAGAUUGUAAUUUCUGACAUAUUGCCAAACGUGGAGUAUAGGAAUUGUGUGAGGGACAUGUUUGCAAAUUGGUCAGGAAGGAAGCUAGGGAAAUCUUACGAGUAUAAUUUCUGGCAGAUUGUGAAUUCCACGACUGAGAAUGAGUGGGAGGAAUUAUGUGCAGCACUAUGUCCGACUUGACUUUCAUGAAAAUUUUAUGGAAACUACGGAUCACGGUCAUAAAUUUCAAAAUAAUAAAACAUAACAAAUGGAAAACACCUACUCCGAGAUCAGUAUAAAACCAUAUGUUAGAAGAUUAACCAAUCUCAAGCAUCUGUUGAUUAUAUAUAGGGAAUAGUUGGUAGGUUUACCUUAUCUAACAUGAAUAUAAAUCAGAAAUCAUGAACUGAAAACAUAUAUAUUUACUAACAUUUUAAGGAAAUAUGAAGCAUAAAUCAAUGGGUGAACGAAUCAUUGAAGUAAAAUGCAGAUAGUCUUGAGAUACAAUAUGAUUAAAUCUCUACUUACUGCUCACGGCAUGAGCACCAAUGGUGGAACAUAAACAAUUAAGCUGAAUGAUGUCCACCACAGAUCCUAUGAAUCAAAACCAACCAAUAACAAGUCAAUUGCCAAAAAGAAUUCAAGUAUGAAUCUUAAUAUCUCUUCACUGCAAUGCUCAACCAACAUGAGAGGCAGUAACAUACAAAGAACUUUCAGCCCAAACUGAUACGACAAUCAAAAUCCAAGGUAAGAAGCUAUCAACUCCAAUGGCUCUACCAUGGAACUAACCCAAUCUAGCUUGAGAGUGAAAACUGCCGAAGGUUGCAUCUAGCUCCACGUGUUCAUCCCACAAGUUUUGAGAUCUCUUGCAAAUUCUCGAUUUGUAUAAUCCCAUUGAUAAAUAUGGGAAAAAAAUGUUGAGGAUGCUGAAGAUCAUUAAAUGAACCUAAAAUCAUGAUAAUAAGUCAAAGGCAAAGGUAACUUACUUCUUCACCAUGACUGAAUUGCCAGAACCCAGAAAGGGCCUCAAAAGAUUACCUUGAAGUUGUGUUCACAAAUCUGUUGACAACUUGCAUAGUCAACAAAUAUCAGUUCAAACACUUGUAAAAAGCAAGCAUUCAGCAAAACAAAUUGAAGCUCUUACAGUUCAGGUGCUCCUCCUUAUAUGGCUAAAGCUCCAAUUCAGCAGUGGCACAAAUAACCAAUAUUUCUAAUGAAUCUAGAUGUCAUUGAAGGAAAAUGCACACCAAGGCUGGAAACUAAACAAUGAAGCUGAAUCGAGUCCACCACUGGUCCUAUGAAUUAAAAAAACCAACCAAUAACAAGUCAACUGUCAAUACGAAUUAAGUAUGAAUCUUAAUAUCUGAAUUUUAAGAACACAGACACGACAGGGGGAUGAAGAUGAGAAAAUAAUAAUAAUAAUAAUAAGCAAAAAUCACAAGCUUUUGAACAAAUUUCCAAUUUUUAUGUUUAUAAAUUAUGCUUUUAACAUUUACAAUGUAGAACUACAAGGUUUCAGUAUGGUAAAGCAUCUUCUGAAAGACGAGUAAUUUAUAAAGCAGAGCAAGUUAGAUUCAUCCUGGUCGGUUUUAAUUAAUUAAAGCACUUUAUUUGCUGUUAUUAAUUUAUAAGUUCAAAAUUUACUAUUAAUAAUUGUGGGAAAAAAAAGUAUGACAAUAUAAAAAACGAAAUGAAAAAACUGAAAAAAAUAUGAUAGUAUGAAAAAAUGAGAUGAAAUGAAACCCUUACCUAUGCAUUUGGAUGACAUAAUUGAGAAGUUGAAAGUCCUCAAAAGCAGAGCCAAAGAUGGAAAGAAAUACAAACUAUUUCAAUCUUUUAAGUCCUCCAUCCCCUUCUUCACCAUCAUGGCUAAAGCUUCUUUUGUUCCCAGCAACUCUCUUUUCAGUAGCCUCCACGUAAAAUACAUGAACACCACAUCUCUCCACCUUGAUAUACUUUUCUCCUCCAUCAUUGUCUUCAUCGAAAUGGAAAUUUUUGAUGUAGAAUUUGAAUGAUGCCUCCUCAUAAUUCUUGUCUUCUAUAACCAUGGCGAUGCUAGAUAGAAUAAACACGUGAUAAUCCAUGUACUUAACUGGCUCACAAAAACUGCGGAAACAUAUCUCACUUAUGAAAUUUUCACAACCACCUCCACCAUUGCCACCACCGGCGGUUGUAAGUUGGUACUCACAAAUACAUUCACGUAAUUGAAAUUCAAGGCAGUUAGUGAGAUCAGCCACAAGGCAGAUAGCAAAAACCAAAAAUCUGCUCCCACUGCCCCCAUUUGGGGCUAUCUUCAAACGUAAGGAAGAUUUCAUGCUCUGACACUUGAACAUAUUUGCUGAAAUUUUAUUUCCUGGGAAACAACAAAUCAAACUUGGAGCUCUGUCAGGGUUCUAUUGCCAAUCAUAUCUCGCUGCCCAUUUCUUAGCUAGGGAUCCAAUUUUGAGCAUGGCAUUUGCCUCAAUGUUACUAGUUGAGUCUUGAUUCAAGUUGAAGCAAUUACGGAAUCGCGUCAAAAAGUUAUGAUUUAUGCAAAACUCAUCAUCUAAAGAGUCAAACUGAUUUAAAUUUUGAUCUGCGAAGGAUACUUUUUCUAAUGAUGUGCAGUCAUUUACACUCAAGACUUCCAGAUAUGGUGGAAGAUCUGAGAGUAAUUCGACCUUUGGACAACCACUAAGAUCCGGAUAAUGAAGAGAUUCCAACUUGAUCGAUACAUUUUUGACCGCUGAGCCACUCAUAUUUAAGUGCUUAAGAUUACAUAGAGAGUCGAAAGGCAACGACACUUCUUCAAUUUGAGUGCCAGAUAAGUUUAAUUCUAUUAAGCUUCCCGGGAUUUCUGGAAAUUCGACCAGUGGGCAACCACUAAGAUUCAGUUUACGAAGGGAUUCCAAUUUGAUCGAUACAUUUUUGACCGCUGAGCUACUCAUAUUUAAAAGCUGAAGAUUACAUAGAGAGUCGAAAGGCAACGACACUUCUUCAAUUUGAGUGCCAGAUAAGUUUAAUUUUAUUAAGCUUCCUGGGAUUUCUGGAAAUUUGACCAUUGGGCAUCCACUAAGAUUCAGUUUGCGAAGGGAUUCCAACUGGAUCGAUACAUUUUUGACCGCUGAGCCACUCAUUUUUAAGUGCUGAAGAUUACAUAGGGGGUCGAAAGGCAACGACACUUCUUCAAUUGGGCAACCACUAAGAUCCAAUUUACGAAGGAAUUCCAACUUUAAAAUAUUGAUAGAUACUUUUUUCACCUUUGACUUCCCUAACCACAAAGUUUCAAGUUUGUGGUGAUCCUUAAUUGAAUCAGACACUUCUUCUAUUUUGGUUUCUGAUGAAUCUAAAGAGCAAAAGGGACGUGGGACCUUAGGAAACUUCUUUAGACUAUAACAUCCGUUAAGACGAAGACUAUAUUGAUGAAGAGAUGCCAAAUGAUUGAGGCAAGGAAGUUCAACCAAACUUUUACAAUUAGAGCAACCUAGGAAUUCAAGGUUGAUGGCUCUUGAAAGAUUAGGUAGCUUCCUUAAAUUCACGCACCCAUCAAAGUAAAUUUUCCUUAAAUGAACAAGGUCAUGUACAGAAAAAAUAAUUGUUCUACUUCUAAGCAUCCACCACUUAUUUUAGACAGUAAAAUAUGUAAAAGAAAUAAAUAAUUAUAAUACGAUAAAAAAUAAAAAUUUAUAUUUGAUGUAUCGGGCCUGAAAAUUCACUCGCAGCUAAUAAAUCAAACUAUGUCACUUAUCUAAACAAAAUAAAUUCUUUUAUAUAUAUAUUUUUAAAAACUUUUAAAUAAAAUGUUAUCAUAUGAAUAUUUGAUACAUCAAAUUAUAAAUCAUUUUUUUCAAAAAAAAAAGAGUAUAAAAAUGCAUAUCAUACGAUCAUCUUCAUUCCAAAGUUCAACCAAACGUAAAUUUCCCUUAAAUUAACAAGCUCCUGUAUAGAAACAACAUUUGUAUUGCUUUUAAGCAUCAACUACUUACUUUAAGUAGUAAAAAAUGAAAAAGAAAAUAAAUAAUUAUAAUACUAAGAAAAAUAAAAAUUCAUAUUUGAUGUAUUGGGUGUGAAAAUUAACCCACAAUCAAUAGAUCAAAUGAUUAUUUGAUAGAUUAAAUUAAAAAAAAUUCUUAAAUGAAAUAAGUAUGAAAGCACACAUACUAUAUGAUCAUCUUCAUUCCAAAGUUCAACCAGACUUUCACAGCCAAUGCAACGAAGGAGUUCAAGGUUGAUGGCACUUGAAAGAUUAUGCAUCUUCCUUAAAUUCUUGCAAUAUGAAACGUCAAUUUCCCUUAAAUUAGUAAGGUUCUGUGCAAAAGAAAAAUAUAUAAAAAUAAUUAUAUCAUUGUUAAGUAUCAUCUACUUACUUUAGAAAGUAAGAAAUAAAAAGAAAAUAAAUAAUUGACAAUAUCCUGCACAGGAUGAGAAUAAAAGUAGUUUCAUUACUUUAGAGCAUCAUCUACUUAUAUUAAGACUGUCAAAAUAAAAAUUCAUAUUGGGUGCAUUAAUUCACCCACCAUUAAUAGAUCAGAUUACUUCUUUUAGAAAAAUAGAAUAAAUUUAUAUAUAUAUUUAAAAAAUUUAAAUAAAAUGAUUUCACUUAUUCAAAUAAAAUAAAAUAAAAUAAAAUGUUUCAUAUUUAUAUUUUAAAAACUUUAAAUAAAUAUCAUAUGAUAUAUUAUUUGAUACAUCAAAUUAUAAAUCCUCCUUCUCCUUUAAAAAACUUCUCAUUUGAAGAAAGUAUGAAAGUAUAUACCAUAUCGUCAUCUUCAUUCCAAAGUUAUUCCAUGUUGCCAUGUAAUAGUUUCAACAUGACAAGAUUUUUUGGAUUAAAACCAGAUAAAGAUUUAAAAGGGUAAACAUCCCAACAGAGAAACCUUAACUCUUCAGGAAGAGACAUACUAUCAACUUGAUUUGCAUAUAGCUUCUUAAGCCAUAACAUUUUUUUAGGAAAGCUGAUGUUGAUGUAUCUAAGCUUAUGCAUCUUCUCAAAAGCAGUAGCACAAAACUGUAGACUAUCAACUUUAGUUAUGUCUACCUUUAUUCCUUUAAUUAGGUCAGUCCCCUGAUAAAAAAAAUCAUGAAUUAACACAAAGAAAUUUAUGGACAUUCUAUUAAAUCAGUCAUAAAAAAAGUUAAUUAUAUUAGGAAAGACUUUAAACUAACUUGGCAUACCUUUUUAUUAGAGGAAUUUUUAGAUGCACAAAGUUUUACUUUUUAAUUUUUUUUAAAGUAAUGCAUUAUAUACCUUUAGCAAAUUCCAUGUUGACUGUUGUAUCAUAAGACAUUUGGUCAUUAUGGUUAGGGGAAAUAAUAAAUAUUUUAUUUUUUAAAAUAAUAAUUAAAAAGGAUAAUAUUUUGUACACCACAAGAUCUAUUAAACCAUGUGAAAGAAUAAAAAGAAUAUAAAUACAAUUAAGAAUAAAAAGAAUAUAAAUACAAUUAACACUUACUCUAUCAUGCAUUAUAUAUUUAACAAACUUAAAAAACCUUUAGCAAAUUCCAUGUUGACUGUUGCAUCAUAAGACAUUUGGUCAUUAUGUUUAUGGGAAGCAAUAAAUAUUUUAUUUUUAAAAUAAUAAUUAAAAAGGAUAAUAUUUUGUACACCACAACAUCUAUUAAACCAUGUGAAAGAAUAGAAAGAAUAUAAAUACUAUUAACACUUACUUUAUCAUAGCUGAUCACUUCUUCCACAUCUUUACAAUUCCAUAAUCUACUGCGCUUUCCAGGGUAUUCAGAUUCUUGCAUAACAAUGUCUUUGCCCAUCUCUUCAAGCAUGCCAUGCAUAGAAAUAGAUUCAUAUUUGACCUCAAGUAGGCACUUGCCGACCAAUUUACUUAUUCCACAUCUUGCACCUUUAUAAUAAUUACUUAGAAUUUUUUCUACGUAAUUCAAGUGUUGCCCUUUAAAGAUGCAUGCUACGUCAAGAAAUAUAUUCUUCUCUAUCUCAUCCAGCCCAUCUAAGCUACUCUUCAAAAUAUGUGAAAGUUUUAUUUCUCCACAUUGCUUUAGUUUAGUCACCUCGCUCUUCCACUCUUUUAUAGACUUUGUAUAUAAUUUCAAACCCAGAACUUUAAGAGCAAGUGGGUUACCUUGGGCAUAUUCUACAAACUUGAAUGAUAGAUAUUUGAAAUCAACUGGAAGAUUCAACAAUUGAAAUGCAUAUGUAGAAAAAAGUUGAAAAGAGUCGUUCAUGUUUAACUUCUUUACCUCAUGUAUGUGGUUUGCUCCUCCAUUCCUAAGUACUUGUAUAUCUCUAGAUGUUACAAUGAUUUUACUUCCACGACCAAAAUAUUUAACACCCAUAAAAUCUAUUUGGUCUGGGUCACUAACAUCAUCAAGGACAAGAAGUACUUUUUUAUUAUUCAGCCUCUCGUGGUAAGGGUAUCCUAUGGAAGGAGUAUUGUUUAAUAGUUUGGAAAGAAGUUCAUUUCGUAAAGAUUCACUCCCCUGUUUUUUUAUUUUCUCACUAAUGUUUUGAAGAAACAAACUACGUUCAAACUUUGGAGAGGCUUCCUUAUAUACAGCAUCAGCAAGGGUAGUUUUGCCUAUACCACUCAUGCCCCAAAGUCCUAUUACAUGGAUGCCCGCUUGCUCAAUCAACACCAAAAGCUUCUUUUUUUGAUCAUCUAUUCCCACCAAUUCUUCAGAGACACUUCUACAAUUGCUAUUCAACUUUUUUAAAACAUAUUCAACGACAUCUUUAAUGUACUCAGUUUCAAAUCUAGAAAAUUUUUUAAAAAAAAUCAACAGUCAAAAGAAAGAUAUAUAUAUAUAUAAAAGUAAAAUAUAAGAAGAUGAAAAUAUAUAUAUUGUUACCUAUCGGAUUUGCCUCCUUCUAUAUGCCACCCUUUUGAUGCACCGAUUUCAGCGAAGGCGGCUUUCCAUCGCUUCACGUCUUCAAUUGGUCUCUUUGAUUCAUGCUCUUCGAAGGAUGUCCUAAAAGUCCCACCAAUAUUUCGCACAUCGGAAGGAUCAACAUGGUAAAAGAUGGGAAGAACAAUAUGUUUCAGUGGGCUUGCGCUUGCGAUCCAUGAUGUCAGAAAGUUCAGCUAAGCAUGAUUGUGAAGAAGCAUAGUCUUUAGAUAAAACGAGGAUGGAGAGAUACGAGGCUGCAAUUGCUUGUGAAAGUUCCUCCCCUUUCUCUAGUUUUUCUUCAUCGAAGAAGACAUUCAGUCCCUUGUCUUUCAAAGCUUGGAGUAGAUGAACGGUGAAGUUAUGGCGCGUGUCUUCACCUCUGAAGCUUAAGAAAACUUGAUGCUUCAUUUGACGAGAAGAAGAUGAAGAAGACGCCAUGAAGGUGUAUGGAUUGUGAGAUUGAGGAAAAAGAGAACAAAAUAAACCGAGGGAGCUUUGCUUUUGCUUCUAUCUUUUUAAUGGUAAGAAGAAAAAGUGAGUCAAUUAAAUGGGAAUGAGAUUGAAAGGGUGAAGCAUAGCCAAUUUUAUGAGUGAAGAAUGUGCGUGUGGACCUUAGAAACCGCACCACCAAUCAAACUCUAUCUCUCCAAAAGCCUUUAACUCCGCUGCCUACCAUCAAAAACUCGAACCAAAUAAAAUUGACUGUGCUGCUUGCUCUGCUCUUUUUUUUCUUUUUUUUGAAGUUUGAAAUUUUUUUAAUCAAAGUGGCUUUUUAUAAUUAAAAUUUAUUUUAAUUUAUGAAACUUUGAUUUGUAAUCAAGUAACUCAGCUCUUGUGUAUGUAUGUGAUGCUAUUUUUGUCUUAAAGAUUAUUAUCAACAAGAAAAAUUGUUCCAAUGAUGUUGGGGGGUGUUAAUUUCCAGGUCAAGGUCUUCCAUUGGGACAAAAUUGUUAAGUAAAUAAAUUUCCAUUCUUGAAUUUCUUUUUGGGUCCUAACAAAAAUAUUGACUUCUACACACUUUGUGAUUUGGGUCAAUUGAACUGAAAUUUCAUAUAAUUUUCUUUUAGGCAAUUUUAAGUGAAUUCAACUUAAAUUUCCCACAACUUUAUAAUUUUCACUUUUUUCCCCUAAAUGAAAAGUCUUUGGAAUGAAGGGUGUUGUGUUUCUAUUUUCCUAGGUAAAAUAAUGAUAGAUUUUCUUUCUGCUUUGGGGGUUUCCUAUUUAAUCCUUUAUUUUGAGCACAGGUAGGGUGAGUUUGGUUAAAAAGACCUCUUUAGUUUCUUUCAAUUUUGGAAUCGAAUAAAUUGGCCACUCUCAAAAAAGAAAAUCAAAGCAAUUUAAUCAUUGUUAAUUUUAAAGGUGAGUAACUAAGGACAAUUAAUUGUGAUGUUAACGUCUUUCGUUAAUUGUACAUUAUUUUGAUUGGUAUAACAAUAAAUUUAGCCUUAAAUGUUUCUAUUUUUUGUCAAUUUGGUCUUGGUUUUAAAAAAUCAAUAAAUUUAGUAUCAACAUUUACACGAAUGUUGUGGGCUAAAUUUGUUAAAUCAAGAUAAAAUUGUAAAAUUUGAGGGGUAAAUUUGUUAUUAUGCCAAUCAAAAUUAUGUACCUUUGAUGGACAAAAUUAAUGUUGUGAUUAUUUUACCUUAAUUGCUCACUUUCAAAAUUGAUGGAAUUUAAAUUGUUCUAAUUUUUUUUUAAGAGAGAUCAAUUUACUAACUAUCAACCUUGAGAGAGAUUGAAUAGAUCUUUUACCAACAAAUAUGCUUGCUUACAUUUAUUUUAAACAUAGAAUCGAAUCGGUUUUCUAAUUAAACAAGGAUUCACCUAAAUUGUUUAGCAAGUAAGAAUGAGCAAAAUUCGAUUCUAUUCGAAAAAAUCGAAAAAUAAAUCGAAGUUCAAAUUAUUCGAAUCAAGUUAAGUGAGUUAAUCAAAUUAAUUGACUCAACUUGAUUUUUUUUUUCAAAUUUCGAGUUCAAUUCGAGGAGUUUUCGAAUUCAAAGAAUCCAAAUAAUUCAAAUAAAUCGAAUACCCAAAAAAUUAAGCUAAAUGAUGUCCACCACAGAUCCUAUGAAUCAAAACCAUCCAAUAACAAGUCAAUUGCCAAAAAGAAUUCAAGUAUGAAUCUUAAUAUCUCUUCACUGCAAUGCUCAAACAACAUGAGAGGCAGUAACAUACAAAGAACUUUCAGCCCAAACUGAUAUGAUAAUCAAAAUCCAAGAUAAGAAAAUAUCAACUCCAAUGCCUCUACCAUGAAACUAACUCAAACUAGCUUGAGAAUGAAAACUGUCAAAGGUUGCCUCCAGCUCCAUGUGUUCAUCUCACAAGUUUUGAGAUCUGCUGCAAAUUCUGGAUUUAUAUAAUCCGAUUGAUAAAUAUGGGAAAAAAAAGAUUAAGGAUGCUGAAAAUCAUCAUAUGAACCUAAAAUCAUAAUAAGAAGUCAAAGUCAAAGGUAACUUACUUCUCCACCAAGACUGAAUUGCCAGAACCUAGAAAGGGCCUCAAAUGAUUACUUUGCAUUUGUGUAGACAACUCUGUUGACAACUUGCAUUUUCACCAAAUAUCAGUUCAAACACUUGUAUAAAGCAAGCAUUCAGUAAAACAAAUUGAAGCUCUUACAGCUCAGGUGUUCCUCCUUGUUGCGGAAGCGACGAUAAUAUUAAUAAUAAUAUUAUCAGAAAUAUUUAGAUAAUUAUUAUGCCACAACUAUACUAAGAAAAUUCCCAGUUAAAUUGGAGGGGUCACAAAUGGUCCCACUUAAAAACCAACAACUAGACAGAACUCACUUAGUUAUUUAUAGCAAUAAUAACUAAAUAAAUAUAACCAACAUAAAGCUAUUAAAUAUAAGAAAACAAAUGAGAAAUAAAACACCAGAAUUUUAACGAGGUUCAGCAAAUUUUGCCUACGUCCUCGGGCACUACCAAAUAUAUUUCACUCCAAAAAUACAAGUGAAAGUUUACAAAUAGGGAGAGAGAACAAUUGCCUUAAGUAGAGAAUGGCAAGUGUGGGAUGUUUGAAAUGAGGAAUAAUUAGGCCUAUUUAUAGUUGAAGCUCAAGGAUCAACUUGCAAAGUCCCUAUACAAUUAGGGACCAAAAAUUGCAAUUAUUCCAUGCCACCAUUCCAUGCCAUCAUUUCAAACCAAAUUAUUAGUGCCUUAAUUGUGGGACUUUUGGUGCCCACCAUUAUCUUUGGAGUUGUCAAAGAUGCUACUAAUAAUUAUGCUACUAAUACUCCUUGUAUGGCUAAAGCUCCAAAUCAGCAGUGGCAUUCUCAAAGAUCUGUCAUUCCCUCGGCUUACAUCAACACAAAAGCAAAGGAUAUAAGAAAAACCUAUCUCUCAAAUAACCAAUAUUUCUAAUGAAAGAAAAUAUAGCAAGUAUUGAGAUACCAGAUGAUACCAAUGCUGGAAACUAAACAAUGAAGCUGAAUCGAGUCCACAUUUGGCCCUAUGAAUUAAAAAAAACCAACCAAAAACAAGUCAACUGUCAAUAAGAAUUAAGUAUGAAUUUUAAUAUCUGAGAUUUGGUACCCACCAAAAUCCACUAUGGAUAUUUUAUCAACUCCAAAGCAGAAUCAUUUUGCUACACUGUGUUGAAAUCUCUAGUUUCCGUUCAAUUUUCCUCCAAAUUAAUUAAUAUAUAUGGAGAAUUUCGUUCUUGGACAAUAUAUGCUAUAUCUACAAAACAACACAGACAUAACGGGGGAAUGAAGAUGAGAAAAAUUAAUAAUAAGCAACUAUCACAAACUAUUGAACAUAUUUCCAAUUUUAUGUUCAUAAAUUAUGCUUUUAACAUUUACAAUGUGGAACUACAAGGAUUCAGUAUGGCAAAGCACCUUCUAAAAGACAAGUAAUUUAUAAAGCAGAGCAAGUUAGAUUCAUUCUGGUUGGUUUUAAUUAAUUAAAGCACUUCAUUUUCUGUCACUAAUUUAUAAGUUCAAAAUUUAAUAUUAACAAUUGUGGAAAACAAAAGUAUGUCAAUAUGAAAAAUGAAAUGAAAAAACUGAAAAAUUUAUGAUAAUAUGAAAAAAUGAGAUGAAAAUGAAACCCCUACCUAUGCAUUUGGAUGACAUAAUUGAUAAGUUGGAACUCCUCAAAAGCAGAGCCAAAGAUGGAAAGAAAUACAAACUAUUUCAAUCUUUUAAGUCCUCCAUCCCCUUCUUCACCAUCAUGGCUAAAGCUUCUUUUGUUCCCAGCAACUCUCUUUUCAGUAGCAUCCACGUAAAAUACAUGAACACCACAUCUUUCCACCUUGUUAUAGUCUUCUUCUUCAUUAACUUCAUCAUCAUUGUCGAUGAUGUAGAAUUUAAAUGAUGCCUUCUCAUAAUUCUUGUCUUCUUCAACCAUGUCGUUGCUAGAUAGAAUAAACACGUGAUCACCCUUGUACUUAUUUGGCUCAGAACAAUCGAAGAAAGAUAUCUUACUUAUGUAGCUUUUAGAAUCACCACCACCGGCGGCUGUAAGGUGGUACUCACAAAUACAAUUAAGAUAUUUAAAGCGAUGGCAGUGCGUGAGAUCAGCCACAAGGCAGAUAGCAAAAGCCAAAAAUCUGCUCCCACUACCCCUAUUUGGGGCUAUCUUCAAACUCAAGGAAGAAUUCAUUCUCUGACACUUGAACUUAUCUGCAGAAAUUUUGUUUCUUGGGAAACAACAAAUCAAUCUUGGAAAGUCUUCUCGCUGGUAUUUCCAAUCAUAUCUUGCUGCCCAUUUCUUAGCUAGGGAUCCAAUUUUGAGCAUGGCAUUUUCCUCAAUGUUAUCAAUUGACUCUUGAUUCAAGUUGAUGCAAUUACAGAAUAGCAUGCCAAACAAAUCAUCACCUAACGAAUCGAACUGAUAUAAAUCUUGAUCUGCAAAGGAAACUUUUUCUAAUGAUGUACAGCAUUGUACAUUCAAGUUUUGCAUAUAUGGUGGAAGCUCUGAGAGUAAUUUGAGGCUCUCGCAACGAUCCAUCCUCAUAUGAUUAAGGAUUUUAUGUUGGAAUAUUUUCAAAUAUUUAUAGUAUCCCAAUAACUAUAAAUGAAUGGGUGUAAUUAAUCAAAAGAUAAAACUUUUGGUCAUUGGUCAAAAGUUAUAUCAUUUGAUUUUUAAAAAAAGAAUUAUAACUAUUCAAAAAAUAUUAUUUGAAUAGUUACAAAAUUAAAUGAAUAAUUAUUAUUAUUUAUUUAUUUAUAGACACCUAUUGAAAGAUGUCUCUAUGAAGAGACAUGAAAAUUCCUAUAAAUAGGAAUGGGAUUUCAUUUGGAAAUCAUAUCAACAAAUUCUAAUAUUAUUUCUUCUCUUCCUUCAUUUUCUAAUAUUAUUAGAUUAUUCUAUAAAGUAUUGCUGCAGAAAUCCUUUGUAGAAAUUGAGUUUUUGUUAUACAUUACUCAGUGCAUAGUGGACUAUUCUCGUCAGUGCAAAACGCAAAUAGUCAUUGGCUUCAUUGUAUCCUCGAGUUUAAUUUGCUUGGAACUCGUUUGCACACUGAAGAUAAGUGGGGGCGAAUAUAACCUUAAAGAUAGUGGCUUGAUACACGCCUUGGAGCCUGUCCUAUUUCUUCUUUUUCUUUUCGAGUUCCGAUUGUGUGUUCGAGUUUUUUCCUUACCGGAGUUUUGUACUAACAUUUUAGACCUCAAGCUUGGUGUGGGCAAAUCGACAGUUGGAAACUCUCCGGAACCGAACUGGGUGAUAUUACACAUUAGCUUUUGAAUACUUGAGCCGCUCAUAUUUAAGUAUUGAAGAUUACUUAAAGAGUCUAACGAUAAGGCAGCUUCUUCAAUUCCAGUUCCAGAUAAGUCUAACCAUGUUAAGCUCCUCGGGAUUUUUGGAAAUUCGACCAUUGGGCAUUCACUAAGAUUCAAUUCACUAAGGAGUUCCAACUUUGAAAUAUUGAUCGAUACUUUUUCUACCUUUGAUUUGCUCAACAACAAUCUUUCAAGUUUGUGGAGAUACUUAAUUGCAUCAGGUACUUCUUGUAUUUCAGUUUCUCGUAAAUCUAAAUAACAAAAGUGACUUGGGACCUGAGGGAACUUCUUGAGGCUAUAACAUCCCUCAAGGCGAAGCUUAUCCUCAUCACGAGAUGCCAAAUGAUUGAGGCAAGGAAGUUCAACCAAACUUUCACAGUAAGAGCAAUCAAGGAGUUCAAGGUUGAUGGCUCUUGAAAGAUUAGGUAUCUUCCUUAAUUUUUUGCAAUUUGAGACGUCAAUUUCCCUUAAAUUAACAAGAUUCUGCACAGGAAAAAAAAAUGUCAUCCACUUACUUUAGGCAAUAAAAAAUGAAAAGGAAAUAAAUAAUUAUAAUACUAAGAAAAAUAAAAACUUAUACCCGAUGUAUUGGGCUUAAAAAUUCACCCACAAUUAAUAGAUCAAAUGAUGUCACUUAUUUAAAUAAAAUAAAAUCUUUUAUAUUUAUUUUUUAAAAAACUUUAAAUAAGAUAUCAUAUGAUCAUUUGAUACAUCAAAUUAUAAAUCCUUUUUUUCCUUAAAAAAAUUCUUAGACGGAGAAAGUAUGAAAGCACAUACCAUAUGAUCAUUUUCAUUCCAAAGUUGUUCCAUAUUGCCACUUCGUAAUAUCAACAUGACAAGAUUUUUUGGAUUAAAACUUGAUAAAGUUUUAAGGGGAAAAUAAUCCCAACAAAGAUACCUUAACUUAUUAGGAAGAGAUAUACUAUCAACUUGGUCUACAAGAAACUUCGGAUUUCGAUAGCCCUUCUCAAUCUUUGAAUCAUAGAAGCAAAUAUAUUUAAGAUUAAGCAUGUUCUGAAAAACAGAUGGACAUAACUGCAGCUCAUCCAUUUGAAACAUGUCUAAUUUUAUUCCUUCAAUUGAUACGGUCCCCUAAUAAUGAAAAACAUUUUAUCAAGUAUCAGUAUAUAAAGAUGCAAUGCAUUAAAUAAGUACCAACCCAGUAAAUCCUUGAGUAGAUCCCAUGUUAUACUCUGAGACAUUUGUCUUUAUUUGUAUGGUAAGUACACUGAUAUUUUAUUUUUUGAAAUAAUAAUUAAAAUGAUUAACAUUUGAUACAAUAUAAAUACAAAUAAUUAAACUUUUAACAUAUGAAAACAUAUAAUUAACUGAAUUUAUAUAUUUACAUUAUAUCACAAAUAAAUUUUAAUUAAAAUAACACAAAUAUAUAAAAUAAUAGAAAACAAUGUAAAUACAAUUAGCGCUUACUUUGUUAUAUCUGAGCACUUGAUCUUCGUCUUCAGGAAGCCAUAACCUGCUACGCUUUCCCGGGUCUUCUUUACAUUCUUGGCGAACAAUGUCCUUGCCAAUCUCUUCAAGCAUGUCAUGCAUAGAAUAACAAUCUAUGCUAUCAAGUAAGCACUUGUCGACUAAGUUUCUUAUUCCACUCAUUGCACCCAUAUAAUAAUUACUUAGUAUUUUUUCUACAGUAUCCAUUUUUUCUCCUUUAAAGAAGCAUGCUAUGUCAAGAAAUAUAUUCUUUUCUAGCUCACGCAACCCAUCUAAGCUACUCUUCAAAAUAUGCGACAUUUUUGGCUCGGCAUAUUGCCUUAGACUAUCCACUUCGCUCUCCCACUCUUUUCUAGACUUUGUAUAUAGUUUAGAACCCAAAACUUUAAGAGCAAGUGGAUUACCUUGGGCAUAUCCUACAAACUUGCAUGAUAGAUCUUGAAAAUCAGCUGCGGGACUCAACAAGUUAAAUGCAAGUGUAGAAAAAAGUUGAAGAGAAUCAUUCUCUGUUAAGAAAUGGCUUAAAAUUGGUAGUGGAUUGUUGUUGUUGGUAGUGGGUUGUUGGUGGUAGUGGAUUAGUGGAUGGUUGUUGGUGUCCAUUUUCAACCACAAAUCUUUGCCAAAGUUUUGGACAAUUAUGUCCUUGAACUCUCUUAUAAAUAGAGAGGUUCAUUAGCCAUAUUGAUCAUCCCAAACCAAGAGAGAGCAAAUCUUGUUCUUUGAAAGCUAGGAUUUUAGCUUUCGGGUUUUCUAUAGGGGUUGAGAGUUGUGAGGUUCUCGGGUUGUGUCUUGAGUGUAAAACACUUGUAAUCUUCAUCUUGUUAUAGUGAAAUUUCUUUUCGCCUCUGCCCGUGGACGUAGGCAUUAAAGCCGAACCACGUAAAUCCUUGUGUUCACUUUAUUUUUCGUUCCGGUCAAUUUACUUGUAGUCAUAUCGGAGUUCUCGAAUCGAUCCUUUCCGCAACAAAUUGGUAUCAGAGCGUAGUUGAAGGAGUGAUAAUAUUUUCUGAAUUGCCCUGUGACUGCAGCUUUGUCUGAUCUUUCACAUCAGGAAGAAAAUAUUAUCAUUCAUUCAAAGGUUCCAAAUUAUGGCUACAAGUGUUUCAUCGACUAAGUAUGAUGUCGAGAAAUUUACCGGGAAAAAUAGUUUCAGUUUAUGGCGCAUCAAGAUGCGGGCAGUGCUGGUUCAACAAGGAUUGCUAAAAGCAUUGUCUGGUAAAGAUAAAUUACCAAGCACGCUUUCGGAAGAGCAAAAGGAUGACAUGCUAGAAAGAGCACAUAGUGCUAUUCUGCUAUGUCUAGGAGAUGAAGUGCUACGAGAAGUAGCGGAUGAGAAAACCGCGUCCGGUUUGUGGCUCCGGUUAGAGAGCAAGUACAUGACGAAGUCAUUGACGAACCGGCUCUACCUCAAGCAAAGACUCUAUGCCCUGAAGAUGGAGGAAGGUACACCUGUUUCCCAGCACCUGGAUAAAUUCAAUUCCAUUAUCAUGGAUUUGAAUAAUAUCGAUAACAAAAUCGAUGAUGAGGACCAAGCAAUAAUUGUUUUGUGUUCUUUGCCUCCCUCGUAUGAGAAUUUUGUUGAUACAAUGAUGUACGGUCGUGAUGACCUGACUCUAGAGGAGGUGAAAAAUGCCUUAAGUUCCAGUGAGUUGAGGAAGAAAAUCACUGGUAAGGUGGUCGAAAACAAUGAAGGCGAAGGCUUGGUUGCUCGAGGAAGAUCCAAGGCAAAGGGUGGAAGUUCAAGUAAAAGCCAUCCUAGAUCGCAGUCCAAGAAGAGAAUACAGUGCUACUACUGUAAGAAGUACGGGCACAUGAAGGUAGAUUGUCCGAAAAGGAAGGAGAAAUCAGAAUCACAGGAGCAACAAAAUGAUCGUGCGAAUGUAGCUGAUGCAGAUUCUUCAAGUGAUGCCGAGAUCGUUCUUGCAGUAUCCGACUCUUACGCUGGUGGGAGAUGGAUUCUUGAUACGGGAGCUACAUUUCAUAUAAGUACUUCGAAAGAUGCAUUCUCAACAUACGAGAAGCAUUCUGGUUCAGUACUAAUGGGAAAUGACCACGCAUGUCAAGUCAUGGGGAUUGGCACAGUUCGUAUAAAGAUGUUUGACGGUAUUGUUAGAACUCUAACUGAUGUUCGGCACAUUCCAGAAAUGAAGAAAAAUUUGAUCUCUUUGAGUACGUUGGACAAGAAAGGCUUUCGGUACUCUGCUGAAGGUGGAGUUCUCAAGGUAUUCUCGGGUGCUUUGACUGUGAUACGUGGUAAUUUGGAGCGGGGCCUUUACUUCCUCGAUGGUUCCUCGGUUACAGGUGUUGCGGGAGUGUCAUCAUCAGAUGAUCUAGAUUCUGACACCACGAAGUUAUGGCAUAUGCGGCUCGGGCAUAUGAGCGAGAGAGGCUUAUCGGUGCUAAGCAAACGAGGAUUAUUGUCUGGGCAGUGUACAGGAAAGUUGAAUUUCUGUGAGCACUGCGUCUUCGGUAAGCAGACUCGGGUAAAGUUCAGCACUGGGAUUCACAAGACAAAAGGCACAGUGGAUUACUUCCAUUCUGACCUUUGGGGGCCUUCUCCGACAAUUUCUAAAGGUGGUUACAGAUAUCUGCUUACCUUUAUCGAUGAUUACUCGAGAAAGGUUUGGGUGUAUUUUCUGAAGAGCAAGUAUGAGGUUCUCAUCAACUUCAAGCAAUUUAAAGCUUUGAUCGAAAAUCAAACAGGAAAGAAGAUCAAGCGAUUCCGGACGGAUAAUGGCUUGGAGUUUUGCUCAGGUGAAUUCAAUGAGUUCUGCAAGAAUGAAGGAAUAGUGAGACACCGCACUGUUCGUCGAACACCACAACAAAAUGGAGUUGCAGAACGCAUGAAUAGAACUCUCUUGGAGCGAGCUCGUUGCAUGCGAUCAAAUGCUGGGCUCGGUGAAGAAUUUUGGGCUGAAGCUGUUAAUACUGCUUGUUAUUUGGUUAACAGAUCUCCGUCAACAGCUAUUGAGCUGAAGACUCCUGAGGAAGUAUGGUCUGGUUCUCCUGCUGAUUACUCUGGUUUAAGAGUGUUUGGCUGCCCUGCGUAUGCUCAUGUAAAUGAGGGAAAACUCAAACCGAGGGCGAAGAAAUGCAUAUUUCUUGGAUACGGCCAAGGGGUGAAAGGAUACAGGUUGUGGUGUCCUGAUCCGGUUUCGUCCAAGUUCAUCAUCAGCAGAGAUGUGACUUUUGAUGAGUCAUCCAUGCUUCGAUCCACCACAAAUUCCCGGGAAAAGGAGGAGUCAGAUAGAAUGGGAGAUCACGGUGUUGAGAAGCAGGUGGAGUGUCAGGUGGACGCUCCAAUUCCUACGGAAGGUACUUCAGUCCAGGAUGAUCAAGUUGAGGUGCAAGAUUCCGAUGAAGAUGAGUCACCUCAAGAAAAACCAUAUAGCAUUGCCACUGGAAGAACGAAGAGACAAAUCAAACCAAAUCCGCGUUACGCUAAUCUGGUGUCUUUCGCGCUCAGUGUGGCGGAGUCCAUUGGUAUAGAACCUUCCAGUUAUAAUGAGGCUGUCACGUGUGAUGAGUCGGCACAGUGGGCAAUUGCUAUGAGUGAGGAGAUAGAAUCUCUUCACAAGAACCAUACUUGGGAGUUGGUUAAGCCGCCAAGUAACCAGAAGAUAGUUGGUUGCAAAUGGGUCUUCAAGAAAAAGGAAGGCAUCCUAGGGGUUGAAGCAACUAGAUUCAAGGCACGAUUGGUUGCUAAAGGCUUCACUCAGAAAGAGGGGAUUGACUACAAUGAAGUUUUCUCCCCAGUCGUAAAGCAUUCUUCCAUUCGUAUAUUACUUGCCAUGGUGGCCAAGUCUGAUCUAGAACUUGAGCAGCUUGACGUAAAAACGGCGUUCUUGCAUGGUGAGCUCGAGGAAACAAUCUACAUGCGUCAACCAGAGGGUUUUACAGUUCCUGGUAAAGAAGACCAUGUCUGUCUAUUAAAGAAGUCUUUAUAUGGAUUGAAACAAUCCCCAAGGCAGUGGUACAAGCGGUUUGAUAGCUUCAUGAUUCAGCAUGGUUACACAAGAUGUGACUAUGAUGCUUGUGUCUAUCAUCGGAAGCUCUCAGAUGGUUCGCACAUUUAUUUGUUGCUGUAUGUUGAUGACAUGUUAAUUGCUUCCAAAAACAUGUCGGAAAUCAACAAGUUAAAGUCGCAGUUGAGUGGUGAGUUCGAGAUGAAGGAUCUGGGUGCUGCCAAGAAAAUUUUGGGCAUGGAUAUUCACAGAGAUCGCAAGGCGGGCAAGCUUCGUGUGUCGCAGAAGAACUACAUUGAAAAGGUUCUUCAACGCUUCGGCAUGGAUAAAGCGAAAACUGUGAGUACUCCGUUGGCACCACAUUUCAAACUCUCUGCAGAGUUGUCACCACAAUCUGAUGAAGAAAAGCAGCAAAUGUCUCACAUUCCAUACUCGAGUGCAGUUGGAAGCGUGAUGUAUGCAAUGGUUUGCACUCGUCCAGACAUUUCACAUGCAGUUAGUGUGGUCAGCAGAUACAUGAGUUGUCCUGGCAAGGAACACUGGCAGGCCGUGAAAUGGAUUCUCAGGUACUUGAGAGGUUCUGCAGAUUUAUGCUUGGUAUAUGAUCAGAGUGACUGCACCAGCAGUGUCACGGGCUAUGCGGACUCUGAUUAUGCUGGAGAUCUGGACAAAAGAAGAUCUCUGACGGGUUAUGUUUUCACUUAUUCUGGAGGAGCCAUUAGUUGGAAAGCUGUGUUACAGUCUACCGUAGCCUUAUCUACGACUGAGGCGGAAUAUAUGGCGUUAGCAGAAGCAGUGAAAGAAGCAUUGUGGAUGAAAGGUCUAGUAAGCAGUUUGGGUUUACAACAGGAUUUCACUGUUGUAUUUUGCGAUAGCCAGAGUGCCAUACAUCUGACUAAAAAUCAGAUGUUUCAUGAACGGACCAAACACAUUGAUGUCAGAUAUCAUUUUGUUCGGGAACAUGUUACGCAAGGUGACAUUGUUAUCAGCAAGGUUGCUACCGAGAAGAAUCCUGCAGAUAUGUUAACUAAGGUGAUCCCUGCAUAUAAGUUCAAGCAUUGCUUGGACUUGAUAGGUAUUCGGGAUUGAUUAGCGCCAGAGAGGCGUUUGGAAGAGGUGAUCCAGUUCACUAUGAUGUUCAGCUUGGUAAAUUUCAAGCCAAGGUGGAGAUUUGUUAAGAAAUGGCUUAAAAUUGGUAGUGGAUUGUUGUUGUUGGUAGUGGGUUGUUGGUGGUAGUGGAUUAGUGGAUGGUUGUUGGUGUCCAUUUUCAACCACAAAUCUUUGCCAAAGUUUUGGACAAUUAUGUCCUUGAACUCUCUUAUAAAUAGAGAGGUUCAUUAGCCAUAUUGAUCAUCCCAAACCAAGAGAGAGCAAAUCUUGUUCUUUGAAAGCUAGGAUUUUAGCUUUCGGGUUUUCUAUAGGGGUUGAGAGUUGUGAGGUUCUCGGGUUGUGUCUUGAGUGUAAAACACUUGUAAUCUUCAUCUUGUUAUAGUGAAAUUUCUUUUCGCCUCUGCCCGUGGACGUAGGCAUUAAAGCCGAACCACGUAAAUCCUUGUGUUCACUUUAUUUUUCGUUCCGGUCAAUUUACUUGUAGUCAUAUCGGAGUUCUCGAAUCGAUCCUUUCCGCAACAUUCUCAUUCAACUUCUUCACCUCAUAUAUGUGGUUAGCUCUUCCAUUUUUAAGUACCUGUCUGCCUCUAGAUGUUACAAUGAUUUUACUUUCUGGACCAAAAUGUUUAACACCCAUAAAUUCUAUUUGAUCUGGGUUACUAACAUCAUCAAGGACAACAAGUACUUUUUUAUUGUUCAACCGCUCUUGGUAAGGGUGUCCUAUGGAAGGGCUGUUAAUACAAAUUCCUUUUUGGUUUAAUAAUUUGGAAAAAAGUUCAUUUCGUAAAGAUUCAUUCCCUACAUUUUUUAUUUUCUCACUAACAUUUCGCAGAAACAAGUGGCUUUCAAAAUUUUGGCAGAUUUCACUAUACACAACAUCAGCAAGGGUAGUUUUGCCAAUACCACCCAUUCCCCAAAGUCCUAUUACACGGCUAUGCUCUUGCUCAAUCAGCCCCAAAAUUAUCUUUUUUUGAUCAUCUAUUCCAACCAAUUCUUCAGAAACACUUGUACAAUUGCUAUCCAACUCUUUUGAAAUAUAUUCAACCACAUCUUCAAUGUACCCUGUUUCAUAUCUAGAAAACAGUUAAAAAAUCGACAGUCAAAAGAAAGAUAUUCGUAUAAGUCAAAUAUAAGGAGAUGAGAAUAUAUAUAUUGUUACCUAUCGGAUUUGCCUCCUAUAUGCCACCCUUUUAAUGCACCGACCUCUUGAAAAGCAGAUUUCCAUCGUUGUACUCUAUCAGCUGGUUGCUUUGAUUCAUGCUUUUGGAAGGAUGUCUUAAAAGUCCCACCAAUUUUUUGCACUUGGGAAGGAUUAACAUGGUAAAAGAUGGGAAGAACAAUAUAUUUGUCAGUAGGAUCGCGCUUGCGAUCCAUGAUGUCAGAAAGUUCACCUAAGCAUGAAUUUGAAGAAGCAUAGUCUUUAGAUAAAAUGAUGAUCGAGAGAAUUGAGGCCGCAAUUGCAUUCGAAAGUGCUGAUGAAAUUUUCUCCCCUUUCUUUAGUGUAUCGUCAUCGAAGAAGACGGUUCAUCCCUUGUCUUUCAAAGCUUGGAGUAGAUGAGCGGUGAAGUUAACUCGCGUGUCUUCACCUCUGAAGCUCAAGAAAACUUGAUGUUUCACUUGACGAGAAGAAGAUGAAGAAGACGCCAUUUAAGUGUAUGGAUUGUGAGGUUGAGGAAAAAGAGAACAAAAUAAACUGAGGGAGCUUUGCUUUUGCUUCUAUUUUUGUAAUGGUAAGAAGAAAAAGUGUGUCAAUUAAAUGGGAAUGAGAUUGAAAAGGUGAAGCAUAGCGGAUGAGUUUUUACUGAUAACAAUUUCAAUAUCCACUCCGCUUAUCGAAUCUAAAACCUCCAUUAUCAAUAUACCAAAUAUUUUCUUAUUAAUUGAAUGCUAAAACAUAUCUAAAUAUUUAAAUAUUUUCUUAUUAAUUGAUUUUGUAAUUAAACGUAUAACUUCAAAAAAAAAAAAUUGUCACCAUUCUUGAAUUUCGUUUUGGGUUAUGGUAAAUUUUCUUAUAAAUUUCCUAACAAAAAUAUUGACUUUUAUACACUUUGUCAUUUGGGUCGAUUGAACUGACUUUCUUAAGAAUAAUUGCCACUUUUAGACAAUUUUAGGUGAAUUCAACUUAAAUUUCCUACAACUUUCUCAACAAUAAUCGCCACUUUUUUCCCCUAAAUGGAAAGUCUUUGGAAGGAAGGAUGUAGUGUUUCUAUUUUUCUUAUGUGAAAUAAUGAUAGAUUUUCUUUGUGCUUUUGGGGGGUUUCCAUUUUAGUCCUUUCUUCUGAACACAGGUAGGGUGAGUUUGGAUAAAAAUAUCUCUCCAAUCUCUUUCAAUUUUGAAAUUGAAUAAAUUGGUCUCUCUAAAAAAAAUCAAAGCAAUUUAAUCUUUCUUAAUUUCGAAAGUGAGCAACAAAGAACAAUUAUUCAUGACGUUAAUGCUUUUCGUCAAUUGUACAUAAUUUAGAUUGGUAUAACAAAAAAUUUAGCCAUGUUUACAUAUUUUGUCAAUUUGGUCUUAAUUCUGAAAAUUCAACGAGUUUAGUAUAAACAUUUACAUAAAUAUUGCUAGCUAAAUUUGUUAAAUCAAGACAAGUGAUAUAAUUGUAAACUUUGAGGGGUAAAUUUGUUAUUAUACCAAUUAAAAUUAUUUAUAUUUGAUGGAAAACAUCAAUGUUGUGAUUAACUAUCAUUAAUUACCCACUUUAGAAACUGAUGGGAUUUAAAUUGCUCCGAUUUUUUUAAGAGACUCCAAUUUGCUCAAUACCAAAAUUGAUCAAAGAGAUUGGAUAGAUUUUUUACCAACAAAUAUGCUUGCCUACAUUUAUUUUAAAUAUAGAAUCGAAUCGGUUUUCUAAUUAAUGGUCUAUUUGUUUGUAUGUAAAAUGUUUUCCAUAAAAUAUUUUCAUUGUUUUACCGUGUAUGUUUGGUGGAAAAUGAAUUACUAAAGGAAAUCAUUCUUCAAAAAAAAUGUAAAAUCAAGACUUUUUCAAGGAAAAUAUCUUACCAAUUUUUUUCCCGUAAGACAUUUUCCAAACUAGUAAGACUAUAUUGACUAUCUUCACUAUCAAAGAAACAAAAAAGGGAAGCUUUCAGAGCAACAAAAGGAAAGCUCUCUUCACUGUCGAAGAAAAUAGUCCCUCAUAUUUUAAUUUUAUAUUUUUACAAAUUAGUCCCUGGAAUCUAAAUUUUUACUAUUCUACAAUUUAAUUCCUCAAAAAUAGAUUUUAUUAUUCUACAGUUCAGUUCUAAACCUCUUUUUGUACAAUUUUGCAAAACAGUCCCUUUUCUAAAAUUUCUAGCUUUUAUAAUUUAGUCCUUACAAUUAAAAUUUUGUUUUGGUCCUAUUACUAUUCCUUUACUACAACAAUAUCGUCAAUUAAUCCAAGUAAAUAUUACUAUUAAUUAUUCCAAUUGAAAUACUGACGUGAAUUUUUUAAAAAAACAUUGCUUUCAUAAAAAAAAAUUCAGCAUGGCUAAUAUGGAAAUACGCAAUCAAUAUUUCAAUAUCAUUUUACAGAAGAGUGAUCAAUUUCCCUUUUGGAUGACCAAAUUAACAAAAAUAGUAGAGCAACCAAAAUAGGAAUGACCCCUAUUUAAAAUAACUAAUGAGAUAAUUUACCCAUAAAAUUUUAAGAGCUUAACUGAAUAAUAUUGAGUAUAUUAGUCUAAGCAAAUCAUCUAUAGGAAAAGAAGUUACUAGUUGAUUUUGUAACCAAAUCUAGUUGAUGGGUAUUAAGUAAAUUUCAAAGCACAAAAUAUUGAUGCCCAAAUUAGUUUGGAUUAUUAUAAUAAUAUAAAAUUAGGCCAUAUUUAGAAACAAAUUAAAAAGGUAAUCCUCUUUUAAUAAAUGUGAAAAAUAGGUAGUACAGCAGCAUUAGUAGUGGAGCUUUUUUUUUAAUGCCACGAGUGAGAUUAAAAAAUUGUCUUAUUUUAAUUCAUUGAUUGCAAAAAAAUAUGCUACAAAGAUGUCAAGAAUCUGAUCUCCUUUUUCUUUUGUUUUUUCGCUGAAUUUACAAAGAAAAUCUGCAUAUUACAGUCAUACAUAUUGUUCCAAAAUGCAUAAGGACAAGUAAAAGUUGAUAAUGCACCAAAGCAUGGAAACUCACUUUUUUUUUUUUGUGAGGUGAUAAAGACUUAUUAAUAAAAUAUUUUUAUUGGCUGAGGAAAAAAAAGGGUUGCUUUUGCUUUUGACACCAAUUUCAAAAUGACUAAUAAAUCUUACAGCACUUCAAAAUACGCCAUCCAACCUUCUUUCUUUCCUCGAAGCUACAUAUGUAGGAAUUUGGAUAAAUCAAAGCAGACCACCCCUGGGCUGAAUUUUCAUGGAAGUUCCACAAAAUUUGCACAUCACAACCAUACAUAUAGCUUGUAAAAUGCAUAAGGAAAAAAGAAAGUUGAUAAUGCAACAAAGAAUGAAAAUUCUAAAUCACAAGCUAUUUGCAUGUAGAGCAUGUGAUUCUGGUUGGUUUUAAUUAAUUAAAGCACUUCAUAUUUCUGUCAUUGGCAAUUAAUUUAAAUGCUGGAAAAUAAUAGUUUAUGUGUUAGAACGUAAAUGUUGAGUAAAAUAUUAUUCAACGUACCAAUAUUGGCACAUUUUCUAAAUAAGUCGAGUCUUGAGCAAGAUAUUUUGGCCUAGCUCGAAUUUGACUACUUCUUUCCUGCUGUUGUUUAUUGUUGUUAUAUUGUUGUUUUGUUAUAAUCUUAUUAUUGUAUUGCUAAUAUUUUAUUGCUAUUGUUUGGGUAUUGAAUUUUUAGUUUUAUUGUUAAUUUUACUACAAUUUUAAAAAAUUUUGAUUGUUGAGUUGCAUUAGUGUUAUUUAAGUAUAAAUAUUUAUUUUAAAAAAUAUAUUUUUAAUUUUAUUUUAAUUUUUUUAGUCUAUUUGAUGUAUUAUAUUUUUAAAAUUUAUCUUUACAUAAAAAUAAUCUAAAAAAAUUAAUACGGGUAGGUCAGGCCGGGCUUAAAAAACGAGCCUAAAAUUUUGCAUCGCCUCAACCCAUGAUCAAGUCUAUAUGAACUUUAAAUGAACUCAUUUAAUUUAUCCAACCCAAUAUCAGGUUUUCAUUGUAAAAAUAUUAUUUAUAUAAUUAAUUAAAAUAAAUUUAAUUCAUUCAUUCAAUUAAAUUAUUUUCUCAACUAAAUUCUAAUUUUAUUAAAGUCAUGAUAAUUUUAUAGUACUAGAACUAUGGGUAAAUAAAUUUUGAGUUAAGGCAUGUGUCUUCACCUCUGAAGGUUAAGAAAACUUAAUGCAUCAUUUGACGAGAAAAAGAUGAAGAAGAUGCUAUGAAAGUGUAUGGAUUGUGAGAUUGAGGAAGAAGAGAGGAAAGUACACAAAGGGAGUUUUGGCAUCCUAGUAUUAAAUGACAAUGAGAAUAUGAGAUUUAACAAAGGCAAUGACUGGAGGAGAUUAGCUAAUUAUCUGAGACAAGAAAAUUGUCACUCUCACUCUUUCCAGGAAAUGACAGUCUUUUAUUUGUAUAUUUUACCCACAAUAGUCAAGGUCUUCCAAUGGGACAAUGUUGAGGAAAUGGUUAAAUUCUUAAAAGAGUCCUUGAACUAGUUUACUUUUGUUGUACCCAAAUAAACCCCUAUGUUUUUAUCUGUGUUUAAAUUAGCCCUUAUUUCAAAUGACAUGUUAAUUUUAAAAUAAGUUGGUGAUGAGGGGAGUGUUGAAUUUCAACAUCAACUUAUAAUCACCAUUUAAUAUAUUUUAUUUGUGUUUAUUGUUGUGCAAAGUUUAACUAUUAUUGUUAGUUUUUAAAAACCAAGUUUAACUUAAAUCUUUUGUUAGUUAAAAGGAUAAUAAAUCUCGUAUUGCUUAAGAACAAAGCACAAAGGGAUUAUGAAUCUAUAUAAAAGCCCAUAUUUCACAUUAUUUAGAAAAACAAAGGCAAGAAGAUUUUGAGUUUAUAUAAAGAACCAUAUUUUAAGCCUUAAGUCUAAAUAUUAGCCUUCUGGUGAUGUGGACUUUGAUGAAGAAGAAGGCAUGAAAGAGUAUUAAAAGGGAGUUUUGACCAGCAAGAAAACUUGCUCCAAAUGACGAGGAUGAUGAUGAUGGGUGUUAAUUAAUUUCCAAGUCAAGGUCUUCCAAUGGGUUUUGACCAACAAGAAAACUUGUUCCAAAUGACGAUGAUGAUGAUGGGUGUGUUAAUUUCCAAGUCAAGGUCUUCCAAUGGGAGACUAAAACUUUUCUAGAUACAAGUUAAAAAUUAAAAGUUAUUUGGAUAACAAAUAAAGUUUAAAGGCUUAUGUGGGGUAUGAUGAAAGUACACAAGAUUAUUUAGAUAAUGUGAUAAAGGUUAAGGGCCAAUUUAAUAUGUUAGUAUGAGUAAAUCAUCUAUACUAAAAUAUGUAUUAGUUGAUUUCGUAACCAAACGUACAACUUCAAAAACAAUUGUCACCAUUCAUGAAUUUUUUUUUUUUUGGGUUGUGAUGAAAUUUCUUACGAAUUUCCUACCACUUUCUUGAAGAAUAAUCUUCACUUUUUCCCCCCUAAAUAAAAAGUCUUUGGAAGGAAGUGUGUUGUGUUUCUAUUUUCCUAGGUGAAAUAAUGAUAGAUUUUCUUUGUUAGUCCUUUCUAACAUAGGGAAGGCAAGUUUGAGUAAAAUGACUUCUUUAGUCUUUCUUAAUUUCAAAAUUGACUAAAUUGAUCCCUUUAAAAGAAGAAAAAUUUAAUCUUUGUUAAUUUUGAAAGUGAGCAACAAAUAAAUUUUGAAAAUUGAAUAAGGACAUUUAACUGCAUCAUUAAUGUCUUCUAUCAAAUUCACAUAAUUUUGAUAUUGGUAUAACAAUAAAUUUAGCCCUUCAUGUUUGCAUUUUUGUCAAUUUGAUCUUGAUUCUAAAAAAUCAACAAAUUUAGCAUUAACAUUUACACAUUUACACAUUUACACAAAUGUAGCAGUCUGAAUUUGUUAAAUCAAGGCAAAUUAAACAUGAAUUCACCUAAACUGCUUAGCAACUGAUUUAGAGCUUGAUAUAAUCAAGAUCAAUAGGAGAUACCAUUGUCAUAGAAUAGUAAGUCUUAAAAGCAAAUAAAUCUUUGGAUUUGCCUACCCUUGAGAGCUUAUAUAUACUUUGAUCUCUUGUGUGAUAUUUAGAAAUCUUUACAGUGUCUAAUUAUUUAGAUAUUUGAUGGGUUUAUUGCUCUGCAAGAAAAUGAAAAGUUGAGCUUACUCAAUUAUCUAUCACUCAAUGUGCGUACGGACCUUACAAACCCAUCAGAUUCUAUCUUUUGAAAAGCCUUUUAACUCUGCUGCCUAUCAUCAUAAGAUUACCUAAUUUUACAAUCUAAUGAAAAUGGUUAAGUUUAAUACAAUGAAGUUUACAAUCAAGUGGAAUAAAUUUGAUUAAACAUCGUUUGAAGAUCAUAUAAAAUAAAGGAAACAAAGUGUAAACCUUAAAAUAAAGCCUCAAUGCCUUCAACUGCUAACUUGAGUCGGAGCUUACAAGCAACACGUAAAACAAAAAACAACAAUACAACAUAAUGUAUAAUGUCAAUAAAUACAAUGCCAUGAACAUUAAAAUCCGAUCCACCCCAUCCUUGGCUGAUAUGCCUUGGCAAGACAUUUACGAAAAUCAGUAUCUUUCACUUGAAGGAUCAAUCGAUUAGCUCGGAUACGUCCCCAAAAGUAUCCGAGAGGUUGAAUUGAUACACAAUGAAACUGUCAUGCUCUAGUUGGAAGCUUCAAGCACAGUAUAAUAGCUCGAAUCACAGCCACGUUUUCUUACUGCUGGAAUUCCGGCACCCCCUUAACAUCAUUCUCCCAAAACAGUGACUGUAAAUUCACAACGAAGAAUCACCGUAUGAAGCAAAUGGUUAUGGAAAAUCGCAUCGUUUGUUUCAAGACACAAACACCACACUGCAACCGCAUAACAUGUUCAGCUAAGAUCAACAACUACAGAUUUGUGUAAAUAAUGCAAUAUAAAAUAAUCAGAGUAGUAUAAUUUGUGUUUUCUCUUGUAGUAAAAUCAUAGUUUAGGAUUAGAGAAAGUGACUGUAAAGACAAAGUUUCGAAGCUCAUAAAAAUGAAUGCAUGAACCAAAUGGAUUAAAUCCAAAUUAUAUGAAGAACAUAAGGUGAUAGAAUAGUUAAUGCUUAGUGACUAAAGUCCCUGAUUGCCAAUUCCAGUAUUCAUCCUUUCUAUCCAAAACGAGAGUAAAACUCUGGAAUUUUAAUCACAAAAAUCAAAUCAAAGUUCAAUCUCUGAUAAUCUAAAAUACAAAAAAAGGAAAAUUAAUUCAAAUUUCAGCCCAAACUCAUAUGAUAAUGAAGUCAAAUGGCUCUACCUUGAAACCAACUCAAACUAAACCCAAAUCAUUUGUUUUUAAAAAAUCAGAUGGCCAUGAGGGUUGUAAAAGAUCACAAUGAAACAAAGGUAAUUAAGCUCACCAGGAAGGCUAAAUUGGAAAGAGCUUAUGGCUCCUCCAAAGGUCCUGUUAGAAAAAGGCAGCAGCAACAAUGAACAACAAAGAGCAUAAGCUCAUGAAAACAGCAAGCAAAACAAUUGAUAGGCCAAAGAAAAAAGUAACCGAAUGAGAGGUUCUGCUGCUUUCAUUUUCAUUUCAAAAUAUAAAGGAGUUACAAAAAUAAUAAUAAUAAUAAUAAUAAUAAUAACAAGUCAGUUACCUAAACACGUAACUGCUCUUACCAAAUUUGGCAAGUUGCCAACUAAAAUAUUACAAAAGAAAAGCUGAAAAAAUUCAGCUGUUACAUCCAUCAUUUUCAAAUCUAAAAGUACUAGCUUUAGAUAGCCAACUUGUUAACAUCACAAAAAUACAAAACAAAAGAAAGUUGCUUCUGGUUCAAUCUUCAAACAGACAUGUAAGCAUUACUGCUGCUGCUCACGAUGCUGGUGGUUUGUUGCAUUGCAGGCCAAUGCUCAAUAGCUCCAACAACCAGAAAGCAUUGAAGCAAAGUUGAAUGAUAUCAACUAGGAAAAUCUGUUAACAAAUUGCAAUACUGCCUCGACGUCUCAGUUCAAUCACAAAUAAUGGCAAUAACUCAAUAGAAGAAAUUAGAAGCUUACUCAUCUGCCAUUAAUGUCAUCUUGACUCUGUUUCCUCAUCUGCUUCUCUUAAACCAAUCACUGACAUCUUCAUUCCCUUCACAGAAGCAUAUUUAAAAUGUCAAAGCUUAAUCUCUAGUUUUUGGCUGACUUAUACUACAUUGCUUUAAACUCUGCAAAUAAAAAGCACAUCUAUAACGUGAGAUAAAAAAGAUUAGGCAUAGCGCACAACCUUACAUUAACACUUGAAAUUUAGUGGAACUUGUUUUUGUUGGUGAGAAGAAGAUAUCAUAUCAAACCCACCCUUAAUCUGCGAUUACAAUUCCAGUAUAAAUAGACAUGAAUCAUAAAUCAACGAAUCAAGAUAUCAUUGACGGAAAAUGCAAUGAGUAUAUUGAGAUACCAGAUGAUUAAAUCUCUACUUUUCAAUGAAGCUGAAUGAAGUCCUCCACUGAUCCUAUGGAGUCAACUGCCAAAAAGAAUAAAGCAUGAAUCUUAAUAUCACCUCACCACAAUGCUGCUUAAACAACUUGAAAGGCAAUAACAUACAAAGAGACUUCAUCCCCAACUGAUCUGAUGAUCAAAAUCCAAGAUAAGAAAAUAUCAAUUCCAAUGGCUCUACCAUGGAACCAGCUCUUCACUUCAAACUAAAAUCAUUUAAUAUUUUUCCAGUAUCUUCUUGGGUUCCUCAAUGGGAUAAACAUAAGCUCACCAAUCCAACUUGAGAAUGAUAGCCGUCAAACGCUUGCCUCCAGCUCCAUGUGUUCAUACCACAAAAUUUGAGAUACGAGCAACUCUCGGAAUUUCUUUGAUAAAUCUAGAAAAAAUAAGCAUUAGAUGAACCUAAAAUCAAAAUAAUAAGUCAAAGGUAACUUACUUCUCCACCAAGACUGAAUUGCCAGAGCCCAGAAAAGGUAUUCAAAAGAUUCCUUCAAUUUUGCGUUGAACCAUCAUAUGAAUAGACCAGUAAGGCAAAUCUGUUGACAACUUGCAUUGUCUCAAAAUAUCAGUUCAAACACAUAAAUAAAAUAAGCAUCAAGUAAAAGAAAUUGAAGCUCUUACAGCUUAGGUGUUCCUCCUUAUAUGGCUAAAGCUCCAACUCAUUAUUGGCUAAAAAUAUUUUGCAUUGGUCACAAACUUAAACUUUAAUACCAGAAAUUUCAUGGGAACUUGUUUUGUUGGUGAGAAAGAGGAUAUCAGAACCAUCCAUAAUCUGCAAGUUCUGUUGAGUACCGAAUCUCACAACAAAUAGGAAACACCUACUCCUAAAUCAACAUAAAAGCAAAGGUUAUAAGAGAAACCAAUCUUUCUAAUUAACAUGAAAUCAUGUAAUCAUGAGUUGAUGACAUAUGAGCACCGAUGUUAGAAACUAAACAAUGAGGCUGAAUAAUUUAAGUAUGAAUCUUAAUAUCUAAAUUUGGGCACCUACCACUAACCCCUAUUGAUAAUAAUCUAAAAUGACAUACUUUUAUGAGCUAAUUACAUAUAUAUUUUGAGUACGAUCCUAUUAAUUUGGGCUGUUUAUGGAUAUUUUAUCAAUUCCAAAGCAGGAUCUUUUUGCUACUGUAUUGAAAUCUCUCCAGUUGCCAUUCAAUUUUCCUCCAAAUCAAUUAAUAUGGAGAAUUUCCUUCUUGGACAAUAUAUUCUAUACCUACAAAAGAACACAGACUCAACAGGGGAAUGGAUAUGAGAAAAAUAAUAAGAAGAAACUACCACAAACUACAGAAAAAAUUUCCAUUUUAUGUUCAUAAACUAUGCUUUUAACAUUUACAAUGUGGAACUACAAGUUUUCAGUUUCUCGAAGAUGGUAAAGCACCUUCUAAAUGACUAGCAAUUUAUAAAGCAGAGCAAGUUAGCUUCAUUCUGGUUUGUUUUAAUUAAGUAAAUUGAAAUUUUAGUUUUAACAAUUGUGAAAAACAAAAGUAUGGCAAUAUGAAAAAUGACAUAAAAAAACUGAAAAAUGUAUGAUAAUAUGAAAAAAUGAGAUGAAAAUGAAAACCUUACCAAUGCAUUUGGAUGGCAUAAUUGAGAAGUUGUAACUCCUGAAAACCAGAGGCAAAGAUGAAAAGAAAUAAAAACUUCGAAAGUCAUCACGCCGUUUUUUCCUACCAUAUCUCGCUGCCCAUUUCAUAGCUAGGGAUCCAAUUUUGAGCAUGGCAUUUGCCUCAAUGUUAUUAGUUGACUCUUGAUUCAAGUUGAAACAAUUACAGAAUAGCAUGCAAAACACAUUGUAAUUGUCAUCAUCAAUUAAAGAAUCAAACUGAUAUAAACUUUGAUCUGCAAAGGAUACUUUUUCUAAUGAUGUGCAGUCAUGUACACUCAAGCCUUGCAGAUAUGGUGGAAGCUCUGAGAGUAAUUUGAGGCUCUUGCAACGAUCCAUCCACAUAUACCUAAGGGUUUUAGACCUCAAGCUUGGUGGGGGCACAUCAACAGUGGGAAACUCUCUUGAAUCGAACAGGGAGAUAUUACACUGUAGCUUUGGAAUACUUGAGCCGCUCAUCUCUAACUCCCUAGGAUUACUUAAAGAGUCUAUAGACAAGGCCGCUUCUUCAAUUGGAGUGUCAGAUAACUUUAACCAUAUUAAGCCUCUCGGGACUUUCGGAAAUUCGACCAUUGGGCAACCACUAAUAUCCAGUCGACGAAGGGAUUCCAACUUGAUCGAUGCAUUUUUUACCGCUUCGCCUUUCACUUUUAAGUACACGAGAUUACAUAAAGGGUCGAAAGAAAAUAACACUUCUUCAAUUUGAGUGUGUUAAACUUCUUGGGACUUUUGGAAUUCGGACCAUUGGGCAACCACUAAGAUCCAGUUUAAGGGAUUCCAACUUGAUCGAUACAUUUUUUACUGCUGAGCCACUCAUAUUUAAGAUCUGAAGAUUACAUAGAGAGUCGAAGGCAAGGACACUUCUUCAAUUUGAGUGCCAGAUAAAUUUAAUUCUAUUAAGCUUCUUGGGAUUUCUGGAAAUUUGAUCAUCGAGCAUUCACUAAGAUUCAGUUUACGAAGGGAAUCCAACUUGAUCGAUACAUUUUUGCCCGCUGAGCCACUGAUAUUUAAGUCCUGAAGAUUACAUAGAGAGUCGAAAGGCAACGACACUUCUUCAAUUUGAGUGCGAGAUAAGUUUAAAUUUGUUAAGCUUUUUGGGAUUUCUGGAAAUUUGAUCAUUGGGCAAUUACUAAGAAUCAAUUCACCAGGGAGUUCCAACUUCGAAAUAUUGAUCGAUACUUUUUUUACCUCUGACUUGCUCAACGACAAUCUCUGUAGUUUGUGGAGAUGCUCAAUUGAAUCAGGCACUUCUUCUAUUUCAGUUAUUUCUAAACCCAAAGAACAAAAGUGUCUUGGGACCUGAGGAAACUUCUUGAGCCUAUAACAUCCCUCAAGGUGAAGCUUAUCAUGAUGAAGAGAUGCCAAAUGAUUGAGGCAAGGAAGUUCAACCAAACUUUUACAUAAAGAGCAAUCAAGGAGUUCAAGGUUGAUGGCUCCUGAAAGAUUAUGUAUCUUCAUUAAAUUAGCGCACCAUGAAACGUCAAUUUGCCUUAAAUUAACAAGGUCCUCUAUAGAAAAAUUAACUGUAUUACUUUUAAGCAUUAAAAAAUGAAAAGGAAAUGAAUAAUUAUAAUACUAAAAAAUAAAAUUUUAUAUUUGAUGUGUUGGGCGUAAAUUCAGCCACAAUUACUAGAUCAUGUCACUUAUUUAAAUAAAUUUAAAAACUUUAAAUAAGAUGUUAUUUGAUACAUCAAAUAAUAAAUAUUUUUUUUUCCUUAAAAAAAUUUUUAGGCAAAGAAAAUAUGAAAGCACAUACCAUACGAUCAUCUUCAUUCCAAAGUUGUUCCAUAUUACCACGUCGUAAUAUCAAUACGACAAGAUUCUUUGAAUUAAAACUUGAUAAAGUUUUGAAGGGAAGAGAUAUACUAUCAACUUUGUUUGCAUAUUGCGGUGGAGGUUCCCAUAAAGUAUGUGCAAAAUACCUGAUGUUGAUAUAUCUAAGCUUAUGCAUCUUCUCAAAACCGGUAGCGCAAAAUUGUUGAUUACCAGUUUGAGUUACAUCUAACUUUAUUCCUUUAAAAAACUCAGUCACCUGAUAAAUAAAAAAUCAUAGAUUAACAUAAAGAAAUUUAUCGACAUUCUAUUAAAUCAGUCAUAAAAAUGCAUUAGAUAUUUAACUAACCCAAAAAACUUUUAACAAGAUUCCAUGUUGUAUCGUAAGACAUUUGGUCAUUAUGUUUAUGGUAAGAAACAAAUAAUUUUAUUUUUUGAAAUAAUAAUUAAAAAAGAUAAUACAUGGUACACAACAACAUCUAUUAAACCUACCAAAGAGUGAAAAGAAAAUAAAUGCAAUUAACACUUACUUUAUCAUAUUUGAACACCUCUUCCAUGUCUUCACAACUCCACAAUCUACUUCGCUUUCCGGGGCAUUCAGAUUUUCGCAUAACAAUGUCCUUGCCCAUCUCUUCAACCAUGUCAUGCAUAAAAACACAUCCAUAUUUGUUCUCAAGUAGACACUUGUCGACCAAUUUACUUAUUCCACAUGUUGCACCCUUAUAACAAUUACUUAGAACUUUUUCUACAUAAUCCAUGGCUUGCCCUUUAAAGAUGCAUGCUAGGUCAAGAAAUAUAUUAUUUUCUUCCUCAUCUAGCUCAUCCAAGCUACUCUUCAAAAUAUGUGAAAUUUUUAAUUUCGACAUCGUAUAUAGUUCAGAACCCAAAACUUUAAGAGCAAGUGGACUACCUUGGACAUAUUCUACAAACUUGCAUGAUAGAUCUCGAAAAUCAACUACAGGAUUCAACAACUUAAAUGCAAAUGUAGAAAAAAGUUGAAGAGAAUCAUUCUCAUUCAACUCCUUAACCUUAUAUAUGCGGUGAGCUCUUCGAUUUUUUAGUACUUGUCUAUCUCUAGAUGUUACAAUGAUUUUACUUCCAGGACCAAAAUAUGUGACACCCAUAAAAUCUAUUUGGUCUGGGUCACUAACAUUGUCAAGGACAAGAAGUACUUUUUUAUUAUUCAGCCGCUCUUGAUAAGGGUAACCUAUGGAAGGGGUAUCAAUACAAAUUUCUUUUUCGUUUAACAGUUUGGAAAGAAGUUCAUUUCGUAAAGAUUCAUUCCCCUGUUUUUUUAUUUUCUCACUAAUGUUUUGAAGAAACAAACGACAUUCAUACUUCGGAAAGACUUCUUUAUAAACAGCAUCAGCAAGGGUAGUUUUGCCAAUACCACCCAUUCCCCAAAGUCCUAUUACACGCACGUCCACUUGCUCAAUCAACCCCAAAAUCAUCUUCUUUUGAUCAUCUAUUCAGACCAAUUCUUCAGAAACACUUCUACAAUUGCUAUUCAACUUUUUUAAAACAUAUCCAACCACAUCUUUAAUGUACUUAGUUUCAGAUCUAGAAAAUGAUUAAAAAAACCAGCCGUCAAAAGAAAGAUAUGUCAAAUAUAAUAAGAUGAAUAUAUAUAUAUAGUUACCUAUCGAAUUUGCCUCCUUCUAUAUGCCACCCUUUUAACGUACGAACUUCAGUGAAGGUGUCUUUCGAUCGCUUCACUUCAUCAACCGGCCUCUUUGAUUCAUGCUCUCCGAAGGAUGUUGUUGAAGUUGGCCAGCAUGCUGCCUUGUUGCACCAGAAACAGCCCGAGCCAGUGAAGUUGCAGCAGAAGAUCAAGCUACUGUUGCCAUUUUUUUUCUUCAAGUGAUGUUUUGUAACUUAGUUGGAUUAAAAACUAAGUAGCUUUUGUACUUGAUGUUAUUAGGUGAAGAAUGAGCUGUUAAAUCAGCUUUACAAAGUGUACAAGUUAACUUUAUCAAGUUUCAAUGUGCUUAGUGGUAGUAGGUAUUGUUUAGGUGAUGAUUUUGUAACUCAUUGACCAGCUCAUUAUUGGAACCCACCCAUUGUUUGAAAAGUCAAAAAGGGUGGGCACCGAAAGUAGAAAGUAAAAUUGGUUGGCAAGUUGGGUUAAAAGUUGGCAUGGGAUAAUUGCAAUUUUGGUCCCUAAUUGUAUAGGGACAUUGCAAGUUGAUCCUUGAACCUCAACUAUAAAUAGGCCUAACCAUUUCUUACUUUCUUCAUCCCACACUUGCCAUUCUCUACUUAAGGCAAUUGUUCUCUCUCCCUAUUUGUAAACUUUCACUUGUAUUUUUGGAGUGAAAUAUAUUUGGUAGUGCCCGAGGACGUAGGCAAAAUUUGCUGAACCUCGUUAAAAUUCUAGUGUUCUUUAUUUUUUGUUCUGCAUAUUUUGCAAGUGUCAUUGUAGUGAUUUAUUGUGCUAUUAAAUUACGAUAGAGGGAUAUUCUGGCUAGGAAAGAUCUGGUAUGUAAGCGAUCCUCGUGAUCCACCUCUCUUUCCUGGGAAUUGAACUUAGUGUGAUUUUUCAGUACAAUAAUUUUACUCUUUCACACGCUUCCGCGCAACAAUUGGUACUAGAGCCAGGUUCGUACUUGGGGAAUACGACCGUCUACGGUACUAUUUACGUAUACGGCACUAUUUAUGUAUAUGGUACUAUUCACGUAUACGACACUAUUUAUGUAUACAGUACUGUUCACGUAUACAGUAGUUGGGAUUGAGGAGAAAAAUGGCAGCAGCAUCGUCAUCAGCAAGGACUACUGUGACAAAUGCAAAAUUUGAAGUAGAGAAAUUUGACGGUACCAAUAAUUUUGGUAUGUGGCAAUGUGAGAUCCUGGAUGUCUUAUGUCAGCAAGAGCUAGAUAUAGCCCUUGAAGAAAAACCUGACAAGAUGGAUGACAAGGAGUGGGCCAAGAUCAAUAGACAGGCGUGUGGUACAAUCCGCUUAUGUUUGGCCAAAGAGCAGAAGUACUCUGUCAUGAGGGAGACAUCAGCGAAGAAGUUAUGGGAUACACUGGAAGAAAAGUUUCUAACGAAAAGUCUUGAAAAUAGGCUUUAUAUGAAAAAGAAACUUUAUCGAUUCACGUAUGCACCCGGUAUGUCGAUGAAUGACCAUGUGAACUCAUUCAAUAAAAUUUUAGCAGACUUGCUAAAUUUGGAUGAGAAAUUUGAAGAUGAAGACAAGGCAUUAUUGUUGUUGAAUUCCCUUCUUGAUGAAUAUGAUCAUCUUACCACCACAUUGCUUCAUGGGAAGGACACGAUCACAUUUGAUGCAGUCUGUAGCGCGUUGUAUAGAUCUGAGACUCGAAAGAAAGAUAAAAGAGAUCACAGAGAUACAACCGCAGAAGUCUUAACAGUAAGAGGUCGUUCACACAGCAGCAAAUCUGGUAGAAGGGGAAAGUCCAAAGGGAGACCCGCCAAAGAUGAAUGUGCCUUUUGCCGUGAAAAAGGGCAUUGGAAAAAGAAUUGUCCUAAGCUACAAAAGGGCAAGGCUAUUUCUAAUGCAUGUGUAGCGGAGCAUGAUGAGGAGUCAGACUUUAGCUUGGUUGGCAUGGCAAUGGCAUGUCAAACGGAUGAGUGGAUUUUGGAUUCAGGAUGUACUUACCAUAUGUGUCCUAAUAAGGACUGGUUUUCUAGUCUUAAAGAGCUAGAAGGUGGAAUUGUUCUUAUGGGCAAUGAUAGUGCUUGUAAGAUAAUGGGAGUGGGUACAGUCCAAUUGAAGAAUCACGACGGCUCAAUCCAAGUCUUGACAGAUGUUCGCUACGUACCUAGCCUGAAGAAAAAUCUCAUCUCAUUAGGUGCCCUAGAAUCUAAAGGGCUCACAAUCACUUUGAGAGAUGGAUUACUAAAAGUAGUAGCUGGGCAACUGACGGUGAUGAAAGGCACAAGAAGAAAUAACUUGUAUUUUUUAAAUGGAAGUACAGUUAUUGGAUCAACAUCAACAGUUUCUACAAAAGAUGUAGAUUCAGAGGCUACCAGAUUAUGGCAUAUGCGAUUGGGACAUGCUGGUGAAAAAGCUUUGCAGACAUUGGUGAAGCAAGGCUGAUUGAAAGGUGCAAAUUCUUGCAAAAUGGAAUUCUGUGAACAUUGUGUUCUAGGCAAGCAGAAGAGGGUAAAAUUUGGUCCAGCAAUUCACAAUACGAAAGGAAUUCUGGACUACGUUCACAGUGAUGUGUGGGGACCUACCAAAGUAGAUUCUUUGGGAGGUAUGCACUAUUUUGUUACUUUUGUUGAUGAUUAUUCAAGAAAAGUAUGGGUGUAUCUAAUGAAAAAAAAAAGUAAAGUUUUGGAUGCAUUUCUGAAAUGGAAGAAGAUGGUGGAGACUCAGACUGGUCGAAAGGUCAAACGACUUCGAUCAGAUAAUGGUACUGAGUACAAAAACGAUCCAUUUCUACAAGUAUGCCAAGAUGAGGGCAUUGUGCGACACUUCACUGUUCGGGAUACACCACAGCAAAAUGGGGUGGCAGAACGAAUGAAUCGAACUAUACUGGAGAAAGUUCGAUGUAUGUUGUCCAAUGCUGGAUUGGGCAAAGAAUUUUGGGCUGAGGCAGUUACAUAUGCGUGCCAUCUAAUUAACCGUUUGCCAUCAGCUGUAAUAAAUGGAAAAACUCCUAUGGAGAUGUGGACUGGUAAAUCUGCUACUGAUUAUGAUUCUUUACAUAUAUUUGGUUCCACUGCAUAUUAUCAUGUAAAAGAAUCUAAGUUAGACCCAAGAGCAAAGAAAGCAUUAUUCUUGGGUAUAACUGAUGGAGUAAAAGGAUAUCGUCUCUGGUGUCCUGAUACAAGGAAGAUUGUUUUCAGUAGAGAUGUGACUUUUGAUGAAUCAACCAUGUUGAAGUACAAGGAUUCACAAAAGGAUGACAAAACCAGUAGUACUUUGCAGCAGGUGGAGCUUGAAAAGGUUAACGAUGAUCCAGCUAAUAUUGAAGGGACAAAUGAUGAAGAGGUUCCUACCCAAGAACCUCUACAGCAACAAGAUUCAAUUGCAUAUAGAAGGCCAAGAAGAGAGAUUCGUAAGCCAGCUCGCUUUGAUGAUAUAGUGGCCUAUGCACUUCCAAUUACAGAUGAUGAUGUUCCUUCUACUUACACAGAAGUAAUAAGUAACCCUGAUGGUGUAAAGUGGAAGCAAACAACGAAUGAAGAAAUGCAGUCUCUUCAUAAAAAUAAGACCUGGGAGUUGGUGACACUACCCAAGGGAAAGAAGGCAAUUGGAUGCAAAUGGGUAUAUGCAAAGAAGGAAGGAUUUCCUGAUAAAAAUGAAAUUCGAUACAAGGCUAGAUUAGUAGCAAAGGGUUACGCUCAGAAAGAAAGAAUAGACUACAAUGAAGUGUUUUCUCCAGUUGUGAAGCAUUCGUCUAUUCGGAUUUUGCUAGCCUUGGUUGCGCAAUAUGAUCUUGAACUAGUUCAGCUUGAUGUGAAGACCGCGUUUUUACACGGUGAUUUGGAAGAGGAAAUCUAUAUGACUCAGCCAGAUGGAUUCAAGGUUGCUGGAAAAGAAAAUUGGGUUUGCAAACUGACAAAGUCGCUUUAUGGAUUGAAGCAAUCUCCGAGGCAGUGGUACAAGCGAUUUGAUCAGUUCAUGAAAGGGCAAAGGUAUACAAGAAGUAAAUUUGAUCAUUGCGUGUAUUUUCAGAAGCUACAAGAAGGAACUUUCAUAUACUUGCUCUUAUAUGUUGAUGAUAUGCUAAUAGCAUCUAAGAGCAAAGUUGAGAUUGAAAGAUUGAAGACUCAACUCAAUCUCGAAUUUGAGAUGAAAGAUCUAGGAGAAGCUAAAAAGAUUCUCGGCAUGGAAAUAUGGAGAGAUAGAGCUCAUGAUAGAGUUAGCUUGUCUCAGAAGCAGUAUUUGAAAAAGGUACUACAGCAGUUUGGCAUGAACGAGCAGACAAAACCUGUAAGUACCCUGUUGGCUUCUCAUUUCAAGCUUUCUGCACAACUAUCUCCUUCGACGAAUACGGAACGAGAAUACAUGUUGCAAGUUCCGUAUUCUAAUGCAGUGGGUAGCUUGAUGUAUGUAAUGGUGUGUACAAGACCCGACAUUUCACAGGCAGUUAGUAUAGUGAGCAGGUAUAUGCAUAAUCCUGGAAAAGGACAUUGGCAAGCUGUGAAAUGGAUUCUACGGUAUAUUCAGAAGACCGUGGAUGUUGGAUUACUGUUCAAGCAGGAUAAUGCACUUGGUAAAGGUGUUAUUGGGUACGUUGAUUCUGACUAUGCCAGUGAUUUGGACAAGCGAAGAUCAACCACCGGUUAUGUGUUUACACUUGCUGGAGGACCAAUAAGUUGGAAGUCUACACUACAGUCUACAGUUGCAUUGUCAACCACAGAAGCCGAGUACAUGGUUGUAACAGAGGCUGUAAAGGAGGCUAUUUGGUUACAAGGUAUGGCUAAAACCUUGGGGUUGGUUUAGGAGCAUAUUAACGUGUAUUGUGAUAGUCAAAGUGCUAUUCAUUUAGCAAAGAAUCAAGUCUAUCAUGCACGUACAAAACAUAUCGACGUACGAAUCCAUUUUGUGCGGGAAAUUAUUGAAGAGGGGAAAAUUUGUCUUCAGAAGAUCAAGACUGCAGAUAAUCCCGCAGAUAUGAUGACCAAGGUGGUAACAUCAACCAAGUUCGAACAUUGUUUGAACUUGAUUAAUAUCCUGCAAGUUUAACAGUUGAAGAAGGCACUAUCAAGUAUUGUUGUCAAAGGCAAAAAGAAUUGUGUGAAGAUAAGAUUAUCCUAAUCAAAUCUUCAAGGUGGAGAUUAUUGGAACCCACCCAUUGUUUGAAAAGUCAAAAAGGGUGGGCACCGAAAGUAGAAAGUAAAAUUGGUUGGCAAGUUGGGUUAAAAGUUGGCAUGGGAUAAUUGCAAUUUUGGUCCCUAAUUGUAUAGGGACAUUGCAAGUUGAUCCUUGAACCUCAACUAUAAAUAGGCCUAACCAUUUCUUACUUUCUUCAUCCCACACUUGCCAUUCUCUACUUAAGGCAAUUGUUCUCUCUCCCUAUUUGUAAACUUUCACUUGUAUUUUUGGAGUGAAAUAUAUUUGGUAGUGCCCGAGGACGUAGGCAAAAUUUGCUGAACCUCGUUAAAAUUCUAGUGUUCUUUAUUUUUUGUUCUGCAUAUUUUGCAAGUGUCGUUGUAGUGAUUUAUUGUGCUAUUAAAUUACGAUAGAGGGAUAUUCUGGCUAGGAAAGAUCUGGUAUGUAAGCGAUCCUCGUGAUCCACUUCUCUUUCCUGGGAAUUGAACUUAGUGUGAUUUUUCAGUACAAUAAUUUUACUCUUUCACACGCUUCCGCGCAACACUCAUGUUUGGUAUUUGUAUUGGCUUCCAUUUUUAGUGUUUCAAAAGCUUAAUUCUGCUCUUGAAUUCUAUUUUUGUUUCUUCUGCAAGCCUUGAGCCUUGUUUCUCAAGUCUCAGCAAAACUUGCUUGCAUAUUAUUCAUAACACCAACAGAUGUCUUAAAAGUCCCACCAAUAUUUCGCACAUGGGAGGGAUCGACAUGGUACAAGAUAGGAAGAACAGUAUGCCCUUGAGUCUUUUUACACUUCAUGAUCUGAGAGAGUUCACCUAAGCAUGAUUUCGAAGAAGCAUAGCCUUUAGAUAAAACAAGGAUUGAGAGAUUUGAGGCUGCAAUUGCUUGAGAAAGUGCUUGUCAAAGUUGCUCCCUUUUCUUUAGUUUUUCUUCAUCGAAGAAUACAUUCAGUCCCGUGCCUUUCAAAGCUUUGAGUAGAUGACUGGUGAAGUUAAGGCGUGUGUCUUCACCUCUGAAGCUCAAGAAAACUUGGUGCUUCAUUUGACGAGAAGAAGAUGAAGAAGACGCCAUGAAAGAUUAUGGAUAUGUGAGUGAGGCAAAGAGAAAAAUUUAUAGCAAGGGAGCUUUGGUUUGCCUUUUGAAGAAGAAAAGUUUAAAAUAUGGAUCCAUCAUCAGUGGGAACCUUUUAUUAAAUGGAUUUUUGGUUGAAUUUUCGAACAUAUUAAAAUUUAUUUCUUUUUUUUUAUACAAAGCCUAUAGCUACACGUAAUUCUUUCUCACCUUUAAAUAAAAAGAAAAGACACGUUUAAACACACUCGAACUCACAUCUUUAAACAUUUGUGUGAUGCUAUUAUUUUCUAUUAAAGGUUGUCAUUAAUAAGCUAUUUAAAUUCCAUCACUAAGAAUAUAUUUUUUUCAUCACUUAAAUAAUGGCUUUAAUUAGAGAUAGAUUCUAGUGUCACGGGGCUAGAACUUCCGUCUCGCGAUCCGUGCGGCCUUAGGCGAUCCGUUCAUCCAAACUCGCCUAAGUCAGCUUUUACUCAAGUGAAGAUUCCUUAAGAACUCCUCCAAGGCACCGAAUUGAAGAGCGGAAGCGAUUUAUGCCAAAAGAAGAAUAAUGAAAGAACAAGAGAAAGUCACAGAAAAGAACACACCCAAGGUGUUUGAGUAAAUGCUCUCUGAAUUCUAUUACUCUUAAGAAUUCAAUCUUACAAUGGAUGAGUACAAAUGAGGGGAGGCUCUCUAUUUAUAGUUAAGCUCCCCUAAAAUCGACGAUCAAGAUACAUUUACAUCAACGGACGAGAUUAACCAUAUCUCUUAAUUUUAGGGAUUUACAAUAUUUGUCAUAUCAAAUCUAAUCUAAUCUUUACAAGAUAUGAUUCUCUCUAUCUUCUAAGAUUAGUUACCAAAAUUAGCCUAAGUUGCCAUGUCUUCAUUAUCGAGCUAACCAGGCUUCAAUCUGAUAGGUUUCUCCAACAAUUCUUUGAAUCGGGUCAGUUCUCGUGGGCUAAAUGUUCUCCAUUUAAUCGAUAGACCUCCAUGGGGCACAUCUUGUGUCAUGGUCACGGGCUUUAGACUUUGGCCCGUGACACUAGCACAUUCAGAUAACAUAAUUACGUAACAAAUAUAUUUAUAAAAAUUUACAUAAAAAAUAAGUGAAGUUCAUACAGGCAUAGGAGUCCCAUCACCUAUUAAGAGAGGGAAUGUACUUGAGUAUGGUGUAGACUUAUUCAAAGCAAAGGCAUCUCGACAAACAUGGUGCAUUGCCCCUGAAUCCAGAUACCAAGACGAAGUUCCUAUAGGUAUAGGAAUAUACGAAUCAUCAUUAUCAAAAUUGGACCCAAAAUAAGUGACAUUAAUAUUAGACCCAGUAGAGUUAGAGACAUUAGACGCAUGUAAAUCAGGUAUUCGAGGUAAUCCAAUGCAUGGAUCUGACCCAAUAUAAACACAAGCUCUUAGUUUUGUCCGCCAGGGAAUACACAACCCAUUUUAUGACCCAAAUGUAGUACAAACACCACCAUCUGAAGGCUCAAGCCCUCGUCCAUGACCAAGAGGGCUUGCAAACUCCACACAAUUAAAUGUCGGCCCAUUUGGAGAAACAUUAGCAGUCGACCCAACUGGAGAAAAAUCACCCCCAAAGUCCUAGCAUGGGCCAGAUGGCCUAGCACGCACAGACGGCCCAAGAUUUUGGCCAAUGGCCUAGUGAACCCAGUUACAAGCCCAAAAUACGGACCUAACCCAGUAAACUGCCUUAUGACCAGGCUCAAACCGCUGCUCAUGACCAAGCCCAAAUGGUUGGCUUAACCCAGCAUAAUGCCUAAGCGGUAGGCCUGCUCCAUCAUCAAACGCAAAAAAAGGGGUUAAAAACCCUAGUGUAUGACAUAUACAGGGGAGGCACAGCAGACAAAUGACCACCCUACCAUUUACCAGAAAGAAAUCGUGACUGCACCGUCUACGAAAGGCCACCAAACUGACUAGAGACGGGCGAUAGAAACGAGAAACCAGCAUCCAAACCCUGCCUAGUACGAUCGGUCGAAUUUGAAGCCCAGGCCACUAAUGCCAGGCCACUGUAGUCGCGAUUAUGACAAUAUUAAAAACGUUGAGCUAAAUGCCCAAACUGACCACAGAUCUAACAUUGGAGUUAGGAUCGAAACCUCUUUCCACAACCACCAGUAAGGGACGGCCACCACGCACAGAGUCCACCACCGGUGGUGACGGAAUAGUCUCCAAAAGGUUAGCAUGAAACGGCACCUCCUGAACCACGCGAAUUUAGCAACUUCCAUACUCCAACAACUCAUCCAUGAGGUGUUGUAACGGUAAGGCUUCCGACAAGAAUGACGCUAAGGUGAGCAUGGCGUUGAACUCCGGUGGUAGGCCCACAAGUACGAUCUCCAAUUUCUCUGCCUCCGAGAUCCAAGAUCGACAAGCCUCGAUUAAAGCACAGGUAUUCUGAAUCUUUACUACACACUCCUUUAUCGACAGAUUACCUUUCUUAAGCGAAUGUAAAUCAUGGCGAAUGCAAGAUAACUUGACACCUGUGGCGGUAGUGAAAAGGCAAGUGGCAGUGUUCCAAACAUCGCACGCCAUCCUAGCAUAUGUAAAAGAAGACAACAGUGAAGGACUAAUAGUAGAAAAUAACGAGAAAGAGGCAAGUAACCUAUCCUGCUGAACUAAUGCUGAGGCAUCUGGAUUUGGAACUAGAGAUCCCUCCGAAGACGGCACAAAAUGCGGCAGAACAGGUAACGUUCCCUCCAAAAAAAACCAUUGAAUUCAUAACCUUCAAUAAUCAAGUGAAUAUGUUGCUGCCUCUGUCAAUCAUUGUUGUCCGACGUUUACCAUGUUAAUAUCUACAAAAACUUGAAAGAAAAAUAGAAUAUGCAGAGAAUGAUUUUUGUAUUAUUAUCUUGAAUUUAACCAGUACAACUAUAGUAUUUAUAAAAUGUGUAUGAGUAACUGCUGCUAACAAUUUCACUUAACAACAUAACUGCUUGUAUAACAAACUAAAAACUAAUAGACUAAUAGAGUCUUUAUCUAUACUCUAACACUUUAAACAGAGCAAGUUAGAUUCAUCCUGGUUGGUUUUAAUUAAGUAAAGCACUUCAUUUUCUAUCAUAGGCAAUUAAUUUAAAAGUUGAAAAUUUAGUUUUAACACCUAUGAAAAACAAAAAUAUGGCAAUAUGAAAAAUGAAAUAAAAAAUCGAGUAAUAUGAAAGAAUGAGAUGAAAACCCCUUUAUGCAUUUAGAUGACAUGAUUGAGAAGUUGUAACUACUGAAAACCAGAGCCAAAAAUGAAAGGAAAUAAAAACUAUUGAAAUCGUUUAGGGCAUCCAUCCCCUUCUUCACCAUCAUGGCUAAAGCGUCUUUUGGUUUCGGCAGGUCUCAUUUCUGUAGCAUCAGCAUCACUCUCUGCAUCUACGUAAAAUACAUGAACACCACAUCUCUCCACCUUGAUAAAUUUUUCUGCUGCUUCUUCAUAAUGAUGGAAAUUUUUGAUGCAGAAAUCAAAUGAUGCCUCCUCAUAAUUCUUGUCUCUUUUAACCAUUUUGAUGCUAGAUAGAAUAAACACGUGAUCACCCAUGCAUUUCUCUGACUCAGAAGCAUCCAAGAAAGAUAUGGUACUUUUGAACUUUUUAUAACCACCAUCAGCGGCUGUAAGUUAGUAGCCACAAAUACAUUUAAGACUUCUCAAGCGAGGGCAGUGAGCGAGAUCAGCCACAAGGCAGAUAACAAAAACCAAAAAUCUGCUCCCACCACCCCCAUUUGGGGCUAUCUUCAAACUUAAGGAAGAAUUCAUACUCUGAUACUUGAACUUAUUUGUUGAAAUUUUGUUUCUUGGGAAACAACAAAUCAAACUUGGAAGGAUAUCACCCAGGUAUUUCCUACCAUAUGUCGCUGCCCGUUCCUUAGCUAGGGAUCCAAUUUUGAGCAUGGCAUUUGCCUCAAUGUUAUUAGUUGAUUCUUGAUUCAAGUUGAAGCAAUUACAGAAUAACAUGCAAAACACACCAUCACCUUCAUCACCUAACGAACCAAACUGAUAUAAAUUUUGAUCUGCAAAGGGAACUUUUUCUAAUUACGUGCAGUCAUGUACAUUCAAGUCGAGCAGAUAUGGUGGAAGCUCUGAGAGUAAUUUGAGGCUCUUGCAACGAUCCAUAUGCAUAUACUUAAGGCUUUUGAACCUUAAGCUUGGUGAGCGCACAUCAACAAUUGGAAAUUUAACGAUUAUACAACCACUAAGAUGUAGAGAAGAAAGGGAUUUCAACUUUGAAAUAUUGCUUGAUACAUCUUUUACCAUUGAGUUUGUCAAGGUCAACCGUUGAAGUUUGUCGAGAUGCUCAAUGAAAUCAGGUACUUCUUUUAUUCCGGUUUAUGAUAAAUCUAACUCAUAAAAUUUAUUUGGGAUCUCCGGAAACUUCUUGAGACUACGACAUCCCUUAAGGUGAAGGGUUUUAAGUGAUGUCAAAUGGUUGAGGCAAGGAAGUUCAACCAAACUUUUGCAUUUUUCACAGUCAAGUCUUUCAAGGUUGAGGGCUCCUAUUAAAUUAGGGAUCUUCUUUAAAUUUUUGCAACUAAAAAGUUUAAUUUUCCAUAAAUGAACAAGAUCCUGCACAUGAUGAGAAUAUAAAGUAGUUAGAGCAUCAUUUACUUAGACUCUAUCAAAAUAAAAAUUUAUAUUUGAUGUAUUGGGUGUAUUAAUUCACCCACCAUCAAUAUCAAAUUGCUUAUUAUAAAAAAAUAGAAUAAAAUCUUUUAUAUAUAUUUUAAAAAAUUAAUAAAAAUAUGCUAUCAUAAGAUUAAAUGUUAUAUCAAUUAUAAAUUAUUUUUCUUAAAAAAUUAUUGGAUGAAGAAAGUAUAAAAGUAUAUAUACUUGAUGACCUUCGUUCCAAAGUUGUUCCAUAUUUUCAUGUGCUAAUCUCGAUACAACAAGGUUUUUUGGUUUAAAAUUUGGUGAUAAGAUUUGAAGGGGUAAUAAUCCCAUUGAAGAUACCUUAGCUCAUCCAGAAGAGAUAUAAUAUCAACUUCGAAUGUAAGUAGCUUCUUAUAAUACUUAUGCUCUUUUCACAACAAAUUCUAAGGAGAAUAGAAGAAAAUAUAUCUAAGAUUAAUCAUGUUUUCAAAAACAAAAGGUUAGAAUAAUAGGUUAUCCAUAUGUGACAUGUCUAACUUUAUUCCUUGAAUUCGAUCAGUUCUCUGAUAACAAAAAUUAAUUUAUCAAAUAUUAUCCCGAAAAAAUUUAUAGACAUUCCAUUAAAUAACUCAUAAAAAAAUAAUUAUAUUAGGAUAGGCAUAGACUAAUUGAGCACUUUUAGGAAUUUUUACAUACAAAAAUUGUUUUCUUUUCUUUUGUUUUUAUUUUUUCAAAUCAAUGCAUUAAGGAUUUAACUAAGUCAUAAACCUUGAGCGGAUUCUACAUUAUAACUAAGACAUAGUCAUUAUGUGUCAUUAUGCAUCAAUUCCGUCAGACCGGGCCCUUGGUGCUUAAGAAAACUUGAUGCAUCAUUUGACGAGAAGAAGAUGAAGAAGACGCCAUGAAAGUAUAUGGAUUGUGAGAUUGAGGAAAAAGACCACAAAUAAACCGUGGGAGCUUUGCUUUUGUUUCUACUUUUUGAAUGGUAAGAAGAAAAAGUGACUUUAUUAAAUGGGGAUGAGAUUGAAAGUGUUUCUGUUAGGCUGAAGCAUAGCUAAUUUGUCCUAAUCCAAGGCUCGAAUAAGAAAAAGAGUCUUACAUUUCUUCCUAAACCUAUUUUUCGACCCUCAUAUUUUUUUACCUAAAUUCUCUUAUAUUUUAGAUUAACCUUCAAAUUUAAAUGAAUAGUUCGGCCACUUGAAUAAAUCUACUCUCGAUUUACAUAUUGGCAGUAGUACUUUUUAGUCUAAACCCACCCAAAUUAUAAAAGAACCUUUGGUCUAAAUCAAGCUAGCUUAAAUCAAUAAAAAAAGCCUUCAAUUUUGUCUAAAUUUAUUUUUUUAUUCAAAUUCUCUUAUAUUUUGGAUCUUUGUUAGUAAUACUAGCCGCUACCCUUAGUUGAAUAUCCAAUUUAAAGGGACUGUUUUUCUUGCCUAGUCAGUGAAAUAAUUGUUCCAUUGAUUAGUGUACUAUUUGGUCCCCGACGCCCCACAAUUAAGUUCACGUGAUAUUGAUUUUCAUGUGUUUUUUUCCUUACCUUCAUUCAUUGAUUGCAAAAAAGCAAAUCAAUACUAUGCUACAAAACUGUCAGUCAUCCUCUUGGUUGAAUUUUCAUGGAAAACCUGCAGAUUACAGUCUUAUGGCUGUAACUUCAUAAUGCACCAAAGCAUGAAAAUUCACCACUUGAUAUGCGACGCACAAUUUUUAUGUUUUGUGGGUGAUAAAUAAGAUACUUUAAACUCCUAUCAUCCAGUUUGGUUUUUAUAUAAGCACUUCAUUUUCUAUCAUAUGAGAUUAAUUUAUUUAAAAAUUGUGGAUGCAAGCUUACAACAUCUAUCACUAGCUAAUUUGUAAUGCUAAUGGACCUGAAUUUGUGUAAUUACUGCAAUUUAAAAUAAUCAGAGUUGUAUAAUUUGUGUUUUUUUCUUAUAGUAGAUCAUAGUUUAGGAUUACAGAAAAUUAUUUUAAUUACUAAGCUUCGAAUCUUGAACUUGAUGGAUAUCAUCACAUCAGAACCAAUGUACAAACCAAUUCUAAAACAGAGUAGAACUCUGGAAUUUUAAUUGCAAAAAGGGAAAAUUGAUUCAAGUUUUAGCCCAAACUGAUGUAACAAUCAAGUCAAAUAGCUGUACCAUGAAACCAACUUUUCAUUUUAAAGUUCCAACUAAAGCAAAAUCAUUUGGAUUCUUUUUUUCCAGGUGUUUAUGUUGGGUUCCUCUGUGGGGUAAACAUCAAUCUAGCUUAAGAAUGAAAACUGUGAUAGGGUUGGCAUUGAAAAUAACACCCAGGCUCCAUGUGUUCAUUCAGCGAGUUUUGAGAUGAGAGCAACUCUGCCAAAUUCUGAAUGCAUUUAUAUGGUCCAUUGAUAAAUCAGGGGAAAAGAAUGCCAUGAGGAUGCUAAUAAUCAGAAUGAGUCAAUAGUAAUUUGCCCAAGAGCAUAUGCUUCCUCUCAAUGGGAUAAACAAGGCAACUCUGUUGACAAGUUGCAGUACUGCUUCAAUAUCUAAGUCCAACCACAAUAUAAAUAAAUCAUUCAGUAGAAGAAAUUAAAGAGCUUAAAAGCUUACUUGUUACAAACAUCUGUUAUUUAUUCCCUCAUAUGCUUUCCUUACAUCAAUCAUUGCCAUCUUUAUUCCCUUCACAAUAAUCUCUAGGUAAAAGGGCACAUCUAUAAAUGUGGAUUUUGUGGGAACUACAUUUUUUGGUGAGAAAGAACAUAUAAAAAAACCACCCAUAAUCUGCAACUUCAAUUCCAAUAGAGUAUUGAAUCUGUGUCUGGCUUGACUAUCAUGCAAGUUUUAUGAAAUCUACAGAUCACAGUCAUAAAAAAUAGAACAUAACAAAUAGAAAAUACCUACUCCUAGAUCAAUAUAAAAGCAUAGGUUAUAAGAUUAACCAAUCUCGAAAAUAUGUUGACUAUAUUUAGGUAAUAGUUGGUAGGUUUACCUUGUUGAGAGCUGGACUGCAAUACAACAUGAAGCCAGCAGUAAGCUACUGUCGAGACCAGCAGCACCUACAGAGCUCAGCUCAUUUUGCUUGGUGUGCAAGAAUGAUUUUUGGACCGAAUGAAGCAACCAACAUUGUUGUUUUGUUUUGAUGUAAUUUGGUCUGGUUCAAUCUUAGUUUGCUUGUAAUGUUAGUAGAAGUUAAGUUAGUGAUAAGAUCUUUUGAUGUAAUGGCUGAUUGGUCAGCUAUAUUUGAUUAAUUUUUAGCUAGUGACUAGGUCUGUAUUAGUUGGGGCAGUUAAAUACAUUAGGUAACUGUCAAUGUAUAUUGUAACUUCUUUUAUAUUUCAAAUUUGAAUGAAAAAUUAGUAAUGUUCAGUUAUAAUUUUUUCUGAGUGUUCAAACUUUGUUCACUGCUUUUGUUUUGCUUUUCUUUUUGCUUCGAUUCCUCUUGCUUCUGUUUGCAAAUCUGUUUGGUGUUUGUUGCCAUUGUUCCAACAAAUGGUAUCAGAGCCCAAAUCUUUGAGGGGCCUUUGUAUGCAAUCUGUUGUGUUCAAACUUAAACCAACAUCAAAAUUUAAAAUUUGGAAAGAUCGAAGCAUUUAAAAUCAGUCUAGCAGGAUGAGUUUUACUCCACCACCUCCACCAGUGUUCACUGGAGAAAACUAUCACAUUUGGAUAGUUAAAAUGAAGACUUACCUCCAGGCACACGAUCUUUGGAGUGUGAUCGAGAAUGAUGCUGAACCACCUCCAUUGAGUGCCAAUCCCACCAUUGCACAGAUGAGACAACAUGCUGAUGAGCGAGCCAAGAAGCAUAAGGCUAUGGCUUGUCUACAAAAUGGAGUCUCUAAUGUGAUAUUCACUCGCAUCAUGGCCUGUGACUCACCAAAACAGGCCUGGGAGAAGCUGAAGGAGGAGUUCAUGGGGACUGACAAGACAAGGCAACAGCAGGUGAUCAACCUCAGGAGAGAUUUUGAGAAUGAGGAUGAAGGAGUCUGGGACCAUCAAGCAGUACUCAGACAGGAUAAUGGCCAUUGUCAACAGCAUUAGGCUCCUGGGAGUGGACUUCACAGAGAGCAGAGUUGUUGAAAAGGUCAUCACAACUCUCCCUGAAAAAUUCGAGUAAAAAAUCUCUUCACUUGAGGACUCGAGGGACUUAUCAGCCAUAUCAUUGUCUGAGCUGAUAAACUCCUUGUAUGCACUUGAGCAAAGGAGGGCAAAUAGGUAGGAGGAGAAUCCUGAGGCUGCUUUCCAGGCUAAAGCCAGUGAAGGCUCGAGUGUGAAUGCAAAAGGCAAAAAGUCUUGGCACAAUAGGAAGGCCAAGUCAGGAAGAGAUGAAGCAAAAAGGGUGUUUCCACCAUGUGUUCAUUGUAAGAAGGCAACACAUUCAGAAAAGUAUUGUUGGUUUAGGCCAGAUAUUCAGUGCAGAAAGUGCAAACAGUUUGGCCAUGUGGAGAAGGUGUGCAAGGGCAAACCAAAGGAGGCUGCUCUGCAACAAGCUAGACCUGCUGAAGAUAUGCAAGCUCAAGAGGAGCAUGUAUUCACUGCAACCUAUUUUGUUGGCACAACAAAGGCCAGCAAUGAUUGGCUACUAGACAGUGGCUGCUCACACCAUAUGGCAGCAGAUGAGAAGCUGUUUAAGAGCCUAGACAAAAGUUUCCACUCGAGGAUCAGAAUUGGAGAUGGCAAGCUGAUUGAGGCUAAGGGCAAGGGCAAUGUACUGGUUAGCACUGGUUCAGGUAACAAGCUGAUCUCUGAUGUGCUCUUUGUACCAGACUUAGAUCAGAACCUACUUAGUGUAGGCCAAUUGGUUGAAAAAGGCUAUACUUUGGUCUUUAAAAAUAGUUGUUGUAUUGUUCAAGAUAUGAAUGGUCUGGAGCUAGUCACAGUCUCUAUGACUGAUAGGUGCUUUAUGCUAGAUGUUAGCCAAGUAGAAAGAAAGGCAUGCACUAGUCUUGUUGAUAGUACAAACUUGAGGCAUAGGAGAUUAGGCCAUGCCAAUUUCAGAUCCAUUGAUCUGUUGCAUAAACUGAAUUUGGUUGAUGAUAUUUCAAAAAUUGAGGUUAGUGGAAAUGUUUGUGAAGUUUGUCAGCUUGGUAAGCAAGCGAGACUGCCUUUUCCUACUAACAGUGUUUGGAGAGCUCAACAUAAGCUCGAAUUGGUGCACUCUGAUGUUUGGGGCCCUAUGAGAACAUCUUCAAUCAGUGGCAACAGGUAUUUUGUCCUAUUUAUAGAUGAUUUAACAAGAUUAUGCUGGGUCUACUUCUUGAAGCAGAAGUCAGAAGUGUUUGAAGCCUUCUACAAAUUCAAGGCUUAUGCUGAAAAUCAGUUAGGCUGCAAAAUUAGAGCCUUGAGGACUGAUAAUGGCUCUGAAUAUGUGUCUGAGAGAUUUCAGAAGCUUUGUGACACUGCUGGAAUUCAUCAUCAGCUUAUCACAGUUUAUACUCCUCAGUAGAAUGGAGUUUGUGAAAGGAAAAAUAGGACUGUGCUGAACAUGGCUAAGUGUCUCUUGUUUCAAAGCAAGCUUCCAAGUCAGUUUUGGGCUGAGGCAGUCAACACCUCAGUGUACUUGCUCAAUAGGCUGCCAACUCGAGCAGUCAAGGAUAAAACACCUUUUGAGGCUUGGCAUGGAGUCAAACCAAUUGUGACACACUUGAAAGUGUUUGGAUGUGUGUGUUAUGCUCUUAUUCCAGUAGAGAAGAGGACCAAGCUUGAGAGCAGGGCUACAUCAGGAAUUUUUGUAGGCUAUAGCAGCAACAAGAAGGGUUAUAGGGUGUAUGAUCCUACAGCAAAGAAGGUCUCAGUCAGCAGGGAUGUAAAGUUUGAUGAGGAAAAGGUGUGGAAUUGGAAUGGUGCUGAAGCUGACAUGUCUGAAAUGGACCAGUUGGACUUGGUUAUUGAACCUAUGGAAGAGGGACCAGGAGAAGAUGCUGUGGAUGACACACCAGUGUGGGGAACCAGAACUUUAACUGAUGUCUAUCAGAGGUGUAAUGUUGCUGUAAUUGAGCCUUCAGACUUUGAAGAGGCUGUCAAAGACAGAAGAUGGAUGAAAGCUAUGGAAGCUGAGCUGGAAAUGAUCAACAAAAAUCAAACAUGGGAAUUGGUGAGCAUACUAGAACACAAGAAGGUCAUAAGAGUUAAAUGGGUGUACAGGGCUAAGUACAAUGCUGAUGGCUCACUGAACAAGCACAAGGCCAGGCUUGUGGUGAAGGGCUACAGUCAGCAAUAUGGUGUGGACUUCUUGGAGACAUUUGCACCAGUAGCCAGACUGGAUACAAUCAAGCUAUUAUUUGCUUUAGCAGCUCAGAAGCAGUGGAGAGUUCAUCAAUUGGAUGUGAAGUCAGCAUUUCUAAAUGCCUUUCUCAAGGAGGAGAUCUUUAUUGAGCAACCUAAAGGUUUUGAAGUUGCUGGACAUGAGGACAAAGUGUACAAGUUGAGGAAGGCCCUUUAUGGCCUGAAACAAGCACCAAGGGCCUGGUAUGACAGAGUUGAUGCUUACCUGACCAAGCUUGGAUUUGUGAAGAGUCUUAGUGAGCCUACUCUGUAUGUUAAAAGGUCAGAAUUUGAAACCUUGCUGAUUGUCUCCUUGUAUGUGGAUGAUUUGUUAGUGACAGGGAGCAAGGUUGAGCUCAUUGAUGAGUUCAAGGUUCAAAUGCAGCAAGUAUUUGAGAUGACAGACUUGGGAAUCAUGACAUACUUCCUUGGUAUGGAAGUGCACCAAUCUGAUCGAGGCAUCUUCAUCAGCCAACACACAUUUGCCUUGAAGAUCCUUGAUAAAUUUUGUAUGCAUAACUGUAAAGCAGUUAGCACACCAGUGGCUCAAGGAGAAAAGUUGACAAGCAGUGGUGAUCAGCAAAGGGUGGAUGAAAGACACUAUCGAAGCCUAGUAGGUUGCCUGUUAUAUUUGACAGCAACCAGGCCAGACAUCAUGUAUGGUGUUAGUCUGCUAUCGAGGUUCAUGCACUGCUGUAAUGAGACACAUUUGAAGGCUGCAAAAAGGGUUCUUAGAUACAUCAAAGGGACAGCUAACCUUGGGGUAAUGUUUGAAAGUGGAAAAAAACUGAAAUUGGAAGGUUAUUCUGACAGUGACUGGGCAGGAUCCCUUGAUGACAUGAAGAGUACUUCUGGAUACUUCUUCACACUUGGAUCAGGCAUGUUUUGCUGGAGCUCAAAGAAGCAACAAACUGUUGCUCAGUCCACAGUUGAAGCAGAGUACAUUGCUGCAGCAGUCAAUCAGGCCAUUUGGCUUAGAAAAUUGCUUCAUGAUCUCAAUGAAAUACAAGCUGAUGCAACUAAACUUUGGGUGGACAACCAGUCAGCAGUUGUCAUAGCCAAGAACCCUGUGUUUCAUGGUAAAACUAAACAUUUUAAAAUAAAGUUGCAUUCUGUUAGAGAGGCUGAACAAGCAAAGGAAGUCAGCCUUGUGCAUUGUGGCUCGGGGGCACAAUUGGCUGACAUACUGACCAAGCCCUUAGGAGCUAGUCGAUUUGAAUUAUUGAGAAAUGCAAUUGGAUUGUGUUGCAUAUAGUCCAAGGAGGAGUGUUGAGAGCUGGACUGCAAUGCAACAUGAAGCCAGCAGUAAGCUACUGUCGAGACCAGCAGCACCUACAGAGCUCAGCUCAUUUUGCUUGGUGUGCAAGAAUGAUUUUUGGACCGAAUGAAGCAACCAACAUUGUUGUUUUGUUUUGAUGUAAUUUGGUCUGGUUCAAUCUUAGUUUGCUUGUAAUGUUAGUAGAAGUUAAGUUAGUGAUAAGAUCUUUUGAUGUAAUGGCUGAUUGGUCAGCUAUAUUUGAUUAAUUUUUAGCUAGUGACUAGGUUUGUAUUAGUUGGGGAAAUUAAAUACAUUAGGUAACUGUCAAUGUAUAUUGUAACUUUUUUUAUAUUUCAAUAUUGAAUGAAAAAUUAGUAAUGUUCAGUUACAAUUUUUUCUGAGUGUUCAAACUUUGUUCACUGCUUUUGUUUUGCUUUUCUUUUUGCUUCGAUUCCUCUUGCUUCUGUUUGCAAAUCUGUUUGGUGUUUGCUGCCAUUGUUCCAACAUACCUUAGCUAACAUGAAUAUAAAUUAGAAAUCAUGAACUGAAAUAUUAUAUAGAUAUAUAUAUAUUUACCAACUUUCAAAGGAAAUAUGAAACAUAAAUCAAUGGGUGAACAAAUCAUUGAAGUAAAAUGCAGAUAGUAUUGAGAUGCAAUAUGAUUAAAUCUCUACUUGCUGCCUAUGGCAUGAGUACCAAUGGUGGAACCUAACCAAUUAAGCUAAAUGAUGUCCAUCACUGAUCCUAUGAAUCAAAACCAGCCAAUAACAAGUCACCUGUCAAAAAGAAUUCAAGUAUGAAUCUUAAUCUCUCCUCACUACAAUGCUCAAACAAUAUCAGAGCAGUAACAUAAAAACACACCAUUACCUUCAUCACCUAACGAAUCAAACUGAUAUAAAUAUUGAUCUGCAAAGGAAACUUUUUCUAAUGAUGUGCAGUCCUCUACAUUCAAUUCGAGCAGAUAUGGUGGAAGCUCUAAGAGUAAUUUGAGGCUCUUGCAACGAUCCAUAUGCAUAUACCUAAGGCUUUUAAACCUCAAGCUUGGUGAGCGCACGUCAACAGUUGGAAAUUUAACGAUUGGACAACCACUAAGAUCUAGAACUUCAAGGGAUUUCAACUUUGAAAUAUUGCUUGAUACAUCUUUUACCAUUGAGUCUGCCAAGGUCAACCGUAGAAGUCUGUCGAGAUGCUCAAGGAAAUCAGGUACUUCUUUUAUUCCGGUUUGUAAUAAAUCUAACUCAUAAAAGUUAUUUGGGAUCUCCGGAAACUUCUUGAGACUGCGACAUCCCUUAAGGUGAAGGGUUUUAAGUGAUGUCAAAUGGUCGAGGCGAGGAAGUUCGACCAAACUUUCGCAUUUUUCACAGUCUAGUCUUUCAAGGUUGACGGCUCCUAAUAAAUUAGGGAUCUUCUUUAAAUUUUUGCAUCUGAAAAGUUUAAUUUUUCGUAAAUGAACAAGAUCCUGCAGAUAAUGAGAACAUAAAGUAGUUAGAGCAUCAUUUACUUAGACUAUCAAAACUGGUGUUACUUGCACGCCACAUUAUCUUUUUGAAGAAAGCAAUGAGUUUCAAACUCUGAAGAGAGUUUUUUAUAUACAGCCUCAGCAAGGGUUGUUUUGCCUUGUCCACCCAUUCCCCAAAGUCCUAUUACACGACAGUCUUUUUGCUUAAUCAGCUUCAAAAUCGUCCUUUUCUGAUAUUCUAUUCCAACCAAUUCUUCAGAAACACUUUCAAACCCAAUAUUCGUCAACUUUUUUAUAACGUAUUCAACAACAUCUUUAAUGUACUUGGUUUCAGGUCUAGAAAACAAUAAAAAAUGUAAAUAAGUAAAUAUGAAAUCUAAAACAAAGAUAAGUUGAAAAUAACAAGAUGAGAAAAAUAUAAUUACUUGUCAAAUUUGCCUCCUUCUAUAUGCCACCCUUUUAAUUUACCAACCUCUGCAAAAGCAGUUUUCCAUUGUUGUACUCUAUCAGCUGGUUGCUCUGAUUCAUGCUCUUCGAAGGAUGUCUUAAAAUGCCCACCACUAUUUCGCACAUCGGAAGGAUCAACAUGGUAAAAGACGGGAAGAACAAUAUGUUUGUCAGUGGGAUUGUGCUUGCGAUCCAUGAUGUCAGAAAGUUCACCUAAGCAUGAUUUUG
RNAcentral lists this long non-coding RNA (58866 nucleotides) under Gossypium barbadense (sea-island cotton). RNAcentral's name for it is "long non-coding RNA (GBAR_LNC020380)". Lineage: Eukaryota; Viridiplantae; Streptophyta; Magnoliopsida; Malvales; Malvaceae. The record is from RNAcentral.